GAGGGAGAGAGAAAAGUGGAGGCAAAAGGAUAAAAGUAGGUCCUUUGGUCCAUAGCUUUUGUGUGCACCAUGAGAGAAAAGUAGGGUUUGGUCCAUGGUCCACCAUGGACCAAGGGCCCUCCUCUCACUUUUCUUGCUCCCCACUCUAACUCAUUUGACCCCUUGACCAUGGCAUGAGAGGCUUGACUUGUUGACUAGUUUUCCUCUGCCACGUAGGAUUGACCGCGCCACGUAGGUGUCUUUGACUCGUGCUUGCGGAAUGUUGACUUGGUCGCCAUCACAUAGGAUUUACGGCUCGGCCCAUAUAAGGGUUUAUUUUACUACUAUUCUUCAAAUUUUAUUUGAGUGUAUAUGUGUAGUGAGGUUUAUUAAUUUUGCAUUUCGAAAAAAUCAAUCGUGAACAUGGUUCGUGAAGGAACUUUUAAUUUCCUAUUUUCAUACUGGUCUAAUAGCACAUACCAGUGACAUGCCUUUGUCAUUUUUUUGUGCUUUAAAAAUAAUACAAAUACAAUAAUAAAUAUCUUUAAUAAAGAUGUUUUGCACGGGACACCUUGCUAGUUCUUUAAUUAAUGCAAAAAAGGGAAAUAUCAGGAAAACAUAGCUUAUGCAUUUUUUUUGUAAAUCCGGUACGCAUAUCCAUUUAACUGGUUUAAGUAACACUAAAGUAACAUAUCUUGGAGGGAAGCGCCGUCGCCGCGUCGUAUAAUUGCCUUAAAAAAAAGAUACUCUUUCCGUUUCAUAAUUUUUAUCUCAAAAUUUGCCCCCAAAAUAAUGUAUUUAUUUAUAAGAAAUGUUUAGAUUCAUGUAAUAUUUCGACAAAAAUUAUUAAACUGAGGGAGUAUCUCUUGUCCGUCGAGCACAUACUGCAUAAGCAUGCACACGCAGGUUGUGUCUCUGGUCUCUUCUGCGGUCAUUUGCAGUUUCGCGCUAAACUGACUAACGAACACUUCAAAGUUUAAAAAAAUAAAAAAAAAAAUAGCGAGAGCACCUGGUUGCGGGCUUGCUGCAGGAGCUCAAAGUUAAAUUGAUGCUCCUGUCGCCUAUAUAUACGAGCCAGUAGCUCCUUCAUCACAGCAUCAAGAUCACCACCACAAGUGCAUCUGUGCAAAGCGUGAAAAACAGAGCAAAACAUCCUCUGCCUCAGCCCGCGAAGCCAGCUCCUCUCCCCUGUUCCUACUCUGUUUCCCUCACUCACUGACUCACUCGAGAGUUCCUAGUGGAACGCGAGGCUUUGCUCGGGACCCGGCCAUGGUGGCGAUCAAGGCGCCGAGCUCCAUCGACCACGCGAACCCGCUGACCAAGUCCCCCAAGGCCGCAGCAGCAGCAGCAGCAGCGAUCCCGACGGUGGACCUGUCGUCCCCGGGCGCGGCGAGGGCCGUGGCGGAUGCCUGCCGCGGCGUGGGCUUCUUCCGGGCCACCAACCACGGCAUCCCCAGCUCGCUCGCCGCAGCGCUCGAGGCCCGCGCCAUGGCCUUCUUCGCGCUCCCGCACGAAGACAAGGUGGACGCCACCAUUGCCGCGGCCGCCCGGAGGCCCUUCGGGUACGGCAGCAGGAGCAUCGGCUCCAACGGCGACGUCGGCUGGCUCGAGUACCUCCUCCUCUCCCUCGGCUCAAACUCAAACUCCAGCUCCAUCCCAGGAGCUUCCUCCCUCCCGCCAUCGCUCCGGGCGGCGCUGGAGGAGUACACGGGAGCGGUGAGGAACGCGAGCGGGAAGGUGCUGGAGCUAAUGGCGGAGGGGCUGGGGAUGCAGGAGAGAUGUGCGCUGAGAAGGAUGGUGGAUGGAAGCGAGGAAGAGCUUGUCAGGGUGAACCAUUACCCGCCGACCAAGGAAGAAGACUGCGUGGCGGGGAUGACGGGGUUCGGGGAGCACACGGACCCGCAGAUCAUCUCCCUGCUCCGGUCCAACCGCACGGCCGGGCUCCAGAUUAAGCUCCAAGGACCCGACGCGCCAUGGGUCAACGUGGCUCCCGACCCGGAUUCCCUCUUCGUCAACGUCGGCGACUGCUUGCAGGUGCUGACGAACGGGCGGUUCAGGAGCGUGAAGCACAGGGUGGUGGCGCCGGAAGGGGCGCAGGCGUCGAGGCUGUCGGUGAUCUACUUCGGCGGGCCGGCGCCGGCGCAGAGGAUCGCGCCGCUGCCGGAGCUGAUGAGGGAGGGCGAGCAGAGCCUCUACAGGGACUUCACCUGGGGGGAGUACAAGGCGGCUGCCUACAAGACCCGCCUCGGCGACAACCGCCUCGGCCCCUACGAGCUGCGCAACGUCGCAGAUACUAAUCCGACGGCUCUGAUCACCGCCUCCAAGGAACCCACAGCCGCCGAUCACUGCUGCAGCAACAGCAGCAGCAGCAGCGCCGCCUGCGUCGUCGUCCAGCCGCCGCACGUAGCACAAGUGCACUAGCUAAGCUAGCUGAUGUCCGGCCGGCGGCUACUGUCGAUCGUUGGUCGGUCGUUUGAUGUGUAAUCCAGAUGUGGUAACUAAAGCUAGCUGUACGUGUGCCUGCCUGCUUUCCCAGCCCAAAAUUGGCAUGCGCCUGCGAAAAUGCCUCUCCCGCAUGCUCUGCUUCGUCCCGGUUUCAGUUUGUCCUUUCUGGGAAAACAUUUGUAACUUCCGCUAGUAGUAGUAGUAGGCUCGUAGCUGCAAGCCUGCAAGUGUGCUGCACCCUUUUGUCACCGGCAGUUUAACAGCUUGAAUCGCACGCUAUAUGCUGCCUGGUGUACUGUAAAUUAACGGCCCUAUUGUUCCGAUUGUCUUUGUGUGUUACUUACUUCUAGAGUACAAGUUAACUGGAGUACUAAGUGACAACGUUGUAAAAAAGCCCCCCUCUUCGCUUCUUUGGGGCCUUUUGUGCCGUAUAAGAAGUUAAGUACUUCAGAGGAAGAAGGAAACAGUUCAGUUUAGAUUCUACACGGUGCCAACCCCCGAUGCAUCAUCAAGACAUCAAGGUUCAGAUCAGACGACAGGGCUCGAGCCGUGCUCGGUAACAGCUCACGUCCGCUUGUUACAACUAGACGAGCCCCGUACGUUGUCGUGGAAAUUUUUAGUUAACAUACGUGAGCCCACGUUGUUGAGAACAUACAUGAAUGAAAAAUAGCAACAAAAGAGUAUUCAGUGAAAUGUAUAAUGGAAUUGUAUGAUAAAUUAUAGAUCAUUCACUUAGUAAAAAUAGCUUGAUGAAAAAUAGCAUGCAUGCAUGUGCAAAAAAUAUGAGUGUUUCACUAAAUAGAUAUGAACAAAUUAAUAGUGUGAUGAUGUGGCAUGCUUGCAUGUUGAGAGAAAUCAAGUAGCAGUAGCAUGUUCUUCUCCUUAGAUAUGGAAGAUUAGUGCUGUGCGUGGUACGGUUCGAGCUGAUCCAAGAGAAACGUGGUAUCUACGGAUCGGAUGUUCGGUUUACAAAAAAAAUCGGAACAACUAAAUCCUAUCCAAUUGAACCAUUGAUUCACCGGUUCGAACCUUCCUGUUCCUCAGGCCGAGGCAGCGAUUGAUCUCUCCAAUUCCUCGAUUUGCUGCUGCUGCCGCCGCCGCCGCUAAGCCCCACCGUGGUCGCCGCCGCCGUCUCCUUCAGUGCAAGUGAUCACAGUUCGCACCGCCUGCAAAUCCGCUCCCUCCCCACCCCCUCAGCGGCUCGCCGCCUUCAAAGCCGAAGCCAAGACGACUCCGCCGCUAAGACCAUCGGCGGCCGCCUCCGCAUCCCACGCCGCCACCGGGUGGAUUCGUCUCCAUCGCGCCGGCGCCCCCAACUCCCCGCCAACCUCCACCAUUACCCUGCUGUCGAUUCAGCGAGAUUGAAGUUUUUCUACCUCCGUCCCAGGCGCGCACUGCAGCCGAGCAGGCGACGAAAAUAACUCCUCCAUUACCCUGCUGUCGGCAACCUUCUUCGAGCUUUGAGCUAUUCGGCUUUUCCGGCCUGCAGCAGAGCAGCCGACGAGAGCCCUCUGGCAAGACGAAGCAUGCUGUUCUUUUCGGUAUGCAGUAUGCGCAGGCAAUUUAGGUUCGAACCAAAAGAUCCAUUGGAUCGUGUGGAUCACGGAUGCUGCUCCAAUGGAUCGAACCUUUUUACUCCCUUGCACCCUAGGUACGUGAAGUUUGGUGCGGUUCAGAGCCGGUACGAGCCACGCCCACCCCUAGUUACAAUCCGUUUUACUAAACCAACUAGUGGAAUGUCCGUGCUUCGUGACGGCUGAUGUUCAACAUAUAAUGGAAACGAAUAUUGAAAAGAAGGUGCAUAUCGUUUGCACGGAAUACAUAUCGGCCAUACCCAAUUGCUAUGAUAACAAAAUUCGACAAUACCAAAACAUUGAAAAACGACGAUAAAUAAUAUGAGAACUCAAGAAUACAGAACUUGGUUCAUACAUAGGAUGCGGUACAAACAGAUCUAUCUAAAGUACCACAUUAAAUAACAUCAAAGAAAGGUAAACUGGAACCAACCUAUAAUAGGGCAAGCUUGUUCAAGUAUAUUACAAUAAAAAUAUGCCUGGAAGGCAAAUUGGAAACAAAGAUCAUGAUUAGUGACAACAAAAACACUUACCACAUCUAUUAGCUGAUGAAAUGGUAGGAGCAAACCUUCACUAACAGCAUACAAGAACGAUGUCGCCAUUCUCUACAGCCUCCCAGAUAUUUUCAAGCCUCUCAUUCCUACAAGGACUUGAGUUGAUAUUAACAACUGGCACAGUUUGGUACCUCUUUUGUACAGUAGGAUAGAAUCACAUAAGGUAGAUUAUAUGUAUCCUGGAGGUUAUGGUAGAUUAAUAUAGACAACUUGUAACAUAUACAUUUUUAUAUUAGUGAUAUACAAGAAAUGGAAGUUGAAGGACUCAGCUACUUAUGGCUAAUGAAUUUGUUCAGGGUUCAGAAGACCGUAACCGGAUGGUUUGAGUUUCCAACGCAUUUGCAGCAUUGCCUUUUUCAAAUUUUAGUAAGCCCCAAAAUUACACCACUGAAAUUAAGCAACCAAACUCAGUAAAGGGAUACGUUCAAAAUGCAGAUAUUACCUUAUUACAUCCAAACAAAACGUAUGAAAUAUCAUGUUUAUGGGAAUUCCUAGAUUAGUGUGAAUAGUCCCAAGAGGAGCAACAAUAUCACCAACAUCCUCCCCGGAAGGCCGAAACAUGGCCCUUAUAGAUUUGGGAUAACACAACAAACCUACAGAUGCAAAGCAUGACAGUGAAACUUUGCUCAUAUGUCAGCUUAUUAGUGCAACCAGAAAACCAUAAUGCUUUUAGAAAAUAUUGGUCACUUGGAAAAAUAAAUAAACACAGAUUCUAGAGUACUAAGUGACAAUGUGUUACCGGUAUUAUGAGCAGCUCUGCAGAAAUCAAAGUUCAGUUCUCACAAACUCAGCUUCAUAUUUCAGUCUAUUUGUUGUUCACCUUUAACCCCACUUCAGGUGGGUUUCAUUCUCAUGCUUCAUGAUAGCAUAAGCAGCAAGUAUACAGUACCUUAGUCUUAAAAAAACAUAUAAUUUUCUUCCCUGUUACAUUGUGUCGUCAGUGGUGUUCCCCAUAUAAUUGACAUAUAUUCUUUGAACAUUCUAAAAGAAAAAAGGGGAUCAAACUUGUUACACACAUGUUCCCCAAAUAAUUGACUUUCUCCUCUAUCAAAAUCUAUUUGACAGAGAGAAUGGGUUAAAAUUCAGAUAUAUUGCCAGACUUACAGUUGUACAUAAUUGAAGUUAAGAACAAAGCAUUUCAAAAAUAAGAAACAAGGGAAUAUGAAACAUAUGAAAUUUGUAAACAAAGAAUGAGCAAAACAACAAAACAUGUGCAUCCAAAACUUAUUUAUUCCUACUUACUACUUACAUGAAUUAUAUUCUGAGUCUUCUGAGUGAGUUCCAGGUACCAAUGAGCCAAAUGGAAUCACGAUCAAAUUCGUUAGCAAGUGAUUGACGAACCGCCUAUGAUUUAUCGAAAUUAUGUCCAAUUAUGCUAUCUCAGAUAAGCAUCAACAUAAAAAUUUCCUACAACAACCUUCAUUUAUAUUAAAAGAUCAUGCAUUUUACUUGACGCUCUUUUACCAAAAUAUUGCAGUAAUCAAGUCAUGACCCAAAGAUUUCCGCACAUUUUACGGACUACAAAAUUAUAAAUCACCACAUGAAUUUAUUUUGUUUCAAAAUACCGCGCCAGAUUGCCAGAAGACCAUGAGUAAGAAAGAAGUGUCUACUCUUGGCAAAAGUCUAAACUACUCCUAAGUGCCCAUCGAUGGAAGGAAAUCUCAAUCAAUACAGGGGCACAUUGAGGAGUAAGACGGAGAGAGGUAUGGAUAGGGUUAGUUACCUUGAGGUGCUGGAUGCCGAACGAGUGGUCCAUGAGGGCCAGGGGAGAGUAUCCGGCGAUGGAGAUCGCCUGCGCAAGGGACGCCGAUGACUGUCAGCAGCAUGGUGCUGCCCCCGCCAAGCGCAGCCUCAACGGUGGCCAACAGGCGGCGGCGGCCAUCGUCUUCAUCAUCCGCCGCUGCUUCAUGUGUGAGGAAGAGGAACGGCGGAGGGCGCCUGCGCAAGGGACGCCGAUGACUGUCGGCAGCAUGGUGCCGCCCCCGCCAAGCGCGGCCUCAACGGUGGCCAACAGGCGGCGACGGCCGUCGUCUUCAUCGUCCGCAAUUGCUUCAUGUGUGAGGAAGAGGAAUGGCGGAGGGCGCCCACGCGGGAGACACUGAUGACGUCGAGCGCCCCGGUGCCGCCCCCGUCGAGCGCGGCCUCGGCGGGGGCCAACUGGCAGUGGAGGCCGCCAUCGUCAUCCGCCGUUGUGUCGUGCGAGAGGAGGGGCGCUGGUGACGAGACGUCUCUGGAGUAGGGGAUGGGAUGGGGACGAUGGCGGAUCUGGAGGGCUAGAAAGGAGGAGGUGGAUCGAGAGAACGGAAAGAACGGGUGCGUGGAGAACGGUGGAACGUGGUGCGGGAGAGAGGAGCUAAUUACGGCCGUGAUUGAUUGUUGGAUUGUUUUUUUUUUAGGGUUCAGAUAGGGAUGGUUUUCUUGGGGUGCGGGGAUCGGACGGGUGGGACGAGUGCGACGGAUGAACGUACGUACCAAACUCGAAAUUAAGUAGUAGUAAAGAUAGGGUGCUAAAUUAGGCAUUUGCAAUGACAGGUGACAGUUCACGUGGGUGCCAUGCUUUCCUUUUCCGUGACAAAUAGUACUCCCUCUGAUUCUAAAUUCUUGACUCAAAUUUGUCAAAAUAUGGAUGUAUCUAUUCUUAAAAAACGUCUACAUACACGUAAUAUUUUGACAAUAAUUUAGUAUUGGAGGGAGUAGUAUGUAUGUAAGGUUCGUGCUAACCUACAUGUUGACCCUACAAGCAAUUUUUUCUUUGAAAGCAUGCCAAAAUGCCAAAUUAGUCCUUAAAAAAAAGCUAGCCAAAUUAAAGCAUCCGGUUUUGUUCCUCAUCGUUCAUUUCCCUCCCUCCCUCCUUCCCUCCCACCCAUGUUGUCGUACAAUUGUUUUUUUUAACGGGUAAGGCUUCUCAUUUCUCAAAUAAUAGUACAAUUGGGUUUACCUGCCAUUUGCUGCCCAGCCACUAAUUGGUGCUUAUCUUCACGCCUUGUCGCCCCCUUGCAAUGGCAUUCAUCGGUUGGUUAAAAAGGGAAAAACAAGUUUGCAGCACCGGUACAUUUGUACAUCCUUUUCUAUCCACGCAACCACGCGAGGCCGGACGACACGUGCUGAUGCGACUGACGGGAAAGCUGGUUUGGACGGAUGAGCAGAGAGAGAGAACCCGCGCUCGAGCCGCACGUCGGUUUCUUCUUGCAGGAUAAACAUUGCACGUACCAAACGAGCAAAAAUAAGGAACCGGGUGCCAUAUAUAUCCACUCGAUCGGCUCGGACUUUGUCGCCGCCGCCGCGGCUGCUGCUCCUGGCGUCCCGCAGACAGAUUCCCACGAGCCUUGGGCUUCAUCACACGGAUGCCUGUUACCACUCGAUCGACCAGCCCAAAUAGUCUAGCCGUCCGGACUUCGCGUGCGUGCUGCUCAUAUAAUUGUUGGUUGCGUGGGGGCAAUUAUUGACGUACGUGUAGGCGCGCGUACUAGGAUUAAUCUAUCGACGACCACCGUCAUUCACGAGGUCCGGUCGCGUUUGCUAUCGAGCCCAGGCUCCUAGCUAGUUCGACCGGAUAAGGCCGUUCCCGAAUCUAGUCUCAGUGGCAGUAGAAGAACAGUAGCAGCAUUCUGGUGUGUUCUCUGCCAUUGCUCAUGGGGAAAUAGCGGUGUGGUUGAUCUGGUGGAUUUUUGUGCGGAACCCGACAAGCAUGCAUAUUAAAUGGCUUAAAUUUGUCAAAUAAAUAUAAAUGCAUCUGAAACCAAAACGGGACGGAGGAAGUACCAGUAGUAUAAAAGAACUGUGCACAUAAUGCAUGGACGAUGAAAUGGCCUCACAUGGCGAUCGACCGCGCGCGCUUAGGGCGCCGGCACACGUAGAAGAGAGCCUCGUGCUCGCGCGCGAGCUGAGCAUAUAGCACGUACGGUCCGAGCGGCGUCCCGGGCGGGGAUCUGCAGCCUAGGCCUGUCCGGGGCGCCGUCGCAUCGGUCGAUCCAUCGAUGGCGGGACACGGGACACACUGCACACAGCACGAACACGUGCGUGCAUGCGCUAGCUGCAUAUGCCAAAUCUGGUCUCGGUUCACGUUGGUACGUACGCGCUCGAUUGAUCGAUCGAUGGACAACUGACGUAUCGAUUCGAUACGUCAGGGAGGGCUACGUACGGAAAGCUAUAGCUAGCGGGGCCGCCAGAAUCGAGCAGGGGCUCGAUCGAUUCAGAUUCGAUUCGAUCUGGGGUCGAGAAAUAUGUGUGUGACUAGCUGCUGCUAUACGCACGUGCAUAAUACUACUGGUAUGCUACACUUCUCGUUAACUAAGAUGAUCUAUCAGCCGGAGGUGGCCCGUUAAAUUGAAGAGAGGGAGAGAGAAACGUUCAAACUGAAAGGAAAAAAUGGUGUAACUAUUUUCAAACAAAGGUAUUAAAUGUCGAUGGACAUGUCAGAGACAUCGGAUCAAGAUCCGAGGGUCAUCCACACUUUCCCCUCCGUAACGUGUUAUCGCUGGAUUAAAAUCUGACGACCAACAGGGGCGGAGUUACAGCGUAGACAUUGGGUUCAGAUGAGGAAUUGGAUCCGAGCCUACACAUAUGAACCCCAUGAUUAUAGUGUAAUGAACCCAGUGGUUUCCUUUUCUGGCUCCACCCGUGACGACCAAUCACGUCGACUUGUCUCUAACUAAAAAAAUACAGACGACUUCUUAAUAGCAAAACAUGAAAAAGGAAUAUAAUGUCUCUGUAAAAUAUAGAAAGACGUGGUUCUCCGUUAAGAUGUUGUGGUUAUUUCUCUUCUGUCAGUUGACCAUUUUUGUCCCCGUCUGAUCCAGCGCCGCUCCGUUACCGUACCAUGUUUUUUCACGUCAUUAUCCGUCCGUAUUCCUUAUUUGUUUUUGCAUUCAUAUCAUGUCCGUGCCGCUUCCAAACCAAUGGAAAUUGUGAAAUAAAAUAUGGUACUAUAUAAAAUCAUUAUCCGGUCCCGUUUUACAUAUAUGCUAUAUUCCUCAAGUAUGUACAUCGAUCGCGGUCUUGUAUGAUUCAAAAACAAAAACGAAAUAUCAGUAGAGAGCAAGCGUACAUGCACACGCAGGAUAUGCUUUCGUUGGUUAAUUCGGUGUACGUACGGACCACCGCGAUGUCUCUGCGCCCGUCGACGUCACACACGCUUACGUGAGUGCGUGCGUACAGUCGGUGAUUAAUCGAUCCGGAAACGUGCCAAUAUAGUCUGCAGCCGCGCCGGCUUUUUAUACUCCCUGCAAUCAAUGCACCCGGCCCUCUCGUUUCGGCCGAAAACUGCAUACCACGCUCGAUCGAAUCAUCCAAGUAUACAGAUACACACAUGCUUCUCGAUGACUCGAUCGAUGGACUUACGGUAUAAUCGUACAGUAGUUGCUUUCGCUUCCAGACGUAGGUACACGGAACGACGAACCGGGAAAAACGGCCCUCCUGCUCCUGGCUUGGAAUCAUUCCACCUCUGGUGGAAAUCCUGGACCACCCGUACGUCCAUAUGCUCCCUUGCGAGUUGCAGACACGUUAUACGUACUCAUGUAAUCGCUCCGUUUCAUAAAAAUUGACACGAUUUUAAAUCAGAACUAAGUUAAAAUCAUGUCAAUCUUCGUGAAACGGAGGAAGUACCUGACAGGAAUGCAUGCAGGGAUCAGGCACUCCAGUUUGGAGUUGGAACGGGGCACACAUGUGGAAAAAGUUUCGAACUAACAAGGUGGCGACUGCGACCAAAGCCAGAACCAUUUUUUGUCGAGCACGAUCGAUCGACCUGCAGCGCCAGAGCCACUAGAGGGCCCAGAUCAGCUUGCCCCGCCCCAAUUCCAUGCGUUCCGGUUGUUUCCUUUCGAGCCCCCUGCCCCAGUUGCCUGCCCUUUUAUCUCUCAGCGAUCAGUUACGUUCAUGCAUUCUUGGCCACACGUACCUACACUACAAUCGGUACUACUACGUACAUGCGAGAUAGCUAUGUCCCGAUCGAGCCUGCAAUUAACGGCAACUCGACCGAUCAAUCUGCAAGUAGAGACAGUAAUCUCGAAUUUGGUUCAAAAGCAGGCAGCGAAUCCUGGAACGACCAAGUUACACGGUACUCCUAUGUAAGCUAGUACUAGUACAACUAGUAGCAUGCCACCGGUGGAUCACUCACCUGGGGAUACAAAACCGUUCUCCUUCGAUUAGAGUCGUCUGCAUUAUUGACAGUUUCGAUGGACCAGGCAGACAGAAGCAAAGCCUGGAUGCGCGCGGGAUCCACUUGUCCAGCAAAAGGGCACGAAUCGGGGAGGUCACAGGACUUAAACAUACGAUAGGCCACGCGAGCCAAAGGCGUGCCGUACUGUGCUGCCCCUGCCUGGCCUGUCGUGUGAUGUGACAGAAAAAAAUUAAAGGGAGCGGCGAACCUGCGUUUCAUGAUCAUUGAUAGAUGGAUGGGUGGAUCGAGCUAGUAUUAAGCUGGUUGUGGUGUGUGUGUGUGGAGGGGGGUCUGUCUUUGAAAAGUCGACGCUGCAUGCGGACGUUCAGUUUCAAGUGGCGUGCAAGAUGUUCCUAGUGAAAAUGUGAAAUCAUGGGGGAAAUAGGCGAAGUUUGCAGGGUUGAACGGCACACCGCGUUUGGCUGACGGCUCUAUGCGCGGAUAUGAUGUUUUCUUUUUAACGAAUAUUCUGAUAUUUUUCAAUACCAAAACCGUAUUCGGAGUUAGCUGGCGUCUGAAUUUUAAACAGAAGACUUAAAUCUCCGGACUCUUGAAUUAAGAUCUAAGUGUCAUCCCCACUCUCUCUUCUCCCGCAUGCUGUUGUUGGAUUAAGAUCCAAUGUUCAAACACGUCAGCUGAUCGCUAACUAAGAAACAAGCGACUUCUUAAUAGCAAACCGUUUUCUGAAUCCCCACAUUCGAUAAUAAAAUUCCACCGGGAACCUACCAUGCUGUAUGCAGAUAUCGACCUUCUUUUUUUGGAUUGUGAUAAGUGUAUUUUCAUAGUUUAAAUAUUGUUCACGGUGCAAAUUCCGCCCUUGCGUGGCGGGUUAUUGGACAUUCAACUGUGGAUACCGAGCUUAGCAAAUUUUUGUCGAACUCUUUUUGGAAUGGAAUGGAUUAAUACAAUUUGACUAAGAGUCAUCAUUUUUAUGGUUUAGGGUGGUGGCUGCACCCCAAAACCUACCAAGGAUCGAACCCCAGGUUUGACCCUCGGCGUGUCUCAUUUGAGCCGAAUUUCUUUUGGCAGUAGGAGAUGCAAUCCGUUCACGCUUCACACUGAAGCGUCAGUGACUUCGUCGAUCUCAAAACGUUUUCACGAUUCUGGUCAUCCGUGUGAGUGUGUGCGCACGGCGGUGUACGUCGUGUGUGAUCAUUGUUCCUAAAAUAAAGUACUUCCUUCGUCUAACAAAGGAUGUCUGAAUUUUGAUUAAAUUUGAAUGCAUCUAUACAUCAAGUCAUGUCUACAUACAUCAACAUUUUGACAAACUUGAGACAUCUUUUGCUGGACGGUGAAAGUAUAGGAGCCCGGGAAUAGCCGCAUCUUAUUACAAGCAAUUAAUAUUUCGACCCUGAACCAGUUUGAGCUUAACCCCAGUGGAUCGGAAUCGGGUUCACUGAGCGAGCGAGCGCUCCAUUACAGAUUUUUACAGGCACUGAGGCACCGUCUCUUCCUGCUGCCCCCCUCCGGGGAGCUAGCUGCGUGCUAUGGACCGCCCAUUCGUGGAACGGGCUGUACCCACCAAUACCUACGUACCUGCGCGCCUGCCAUGCCACCCCUCUGCCACGGGGGGCUGUCGGCUCCAAAGAAUCAUGCAAUAAUUACCAGCUUCUUCUAUCGGCGGCAUACAGAGGAGAGGAUUGAGCUUUUGAGCAUCUCGUGUGCAGAGAGAAUCUCUCUGCCCGUUCGCGCCAGGUGGAUGUAUUUACUUGCGCCAGGAGCAAACGAGCAACUCGUGACCGCCUACGCACGUUUCCCCGACUAGACAAGUCAAUUGGUGAAAAUUGGUGAAAUUGGCAGCUAGCUUAUUUAUCCCUUUAUCCAUUCGCACCCACCCCACCCCGGCCACCCUCCGCGCUGCGCAUGCAUGCAUGUCCUCGUGGGCUCUCGAGGACUUGAAGUACGUACGUCGCAUGCAUGCAGAUAAGACGGAGCUAGAGAGAAAGCCUCUUCUUUUCGCUCGUGGCCCGGCAUGUGCAUGCCAAUGGCAAUGCCAGCGUCCCAGUCAGCUACUCUCUCCGUUCCAAAUUCUUGCCUCAAAUUUAUCCAAAAAUAAAUAUAUUUAUUUUUUAAAAACGUUUAUAUACAUGUAAUAGUCCGACAAAAAUUAUGAAACGGAAGGAAUACUGACCAUAGCUAUGGUCAGUACAACUCCUAGUGACAAGUGCAAGCAGGGGAAGUUCAUACUCUAUGUGGGAGGUGCAAUGCAUCUCUCGCUCUAAAGACGUGGUACUCCUAGACUACAGGACUACCACGUACUGGAUUCAUCGAGAUGUGAUGGAACGGUGUACCAGGGUGCGUGGCAUGCAUGUAGACGCCGGGCCGAUCGAUGUAUGUCGAGAGCGGGAUAUGGACAACGAAAAAGGGUGUGGGCAGGGUAGGUGUUCGAUCAAAAUCCACGGACAGUUCCAAACUGAGGAGACCAUGGGGAAACUACUGGACAUCGGGGGUAUAGUGUUCACGUGACGUCAGAACUGGGGAGAGCUACACAACCUCAAGUCGUCGUCUUCUGGUAAGCAAGAGGACCCUUGUUUGGGAGCGCAAUGCAAGUGCAGAUGUUGUGCAGGCGCAGCAGAGACGUGACCCUUGCAGAAGAAAACGCGAAGAGCCGGGUAUAGUGGAUAUGUGGAUGCGUGAAUUAUCGUGGGCCGGGCCGCUUCAAAGCCUGGUAACGCGUGUCGUCGUGGCCUGGCCCAGAUUAUGCUGCUCAUCCGUCCAGCUCGCAAUACAUGAAGAGAAGUUCAAAAACCCGCUGUCCACUUUUGCAUUUAUCCAACGUUUCCUUGAUGAUUUGUCUCUCAUUCGUGAUGUUGUCCAUGCUGUGACACCGGAGCCUCCUCCUGGUGGUGGUCGCCUUGUCCCGCCCACCAACCGCUGGUCUCCUCCGUCGGCUGGUAUGUGUAAAAUUAAUGCGGAUGCUGGAGUUGCAAGGUCAGGUGCAGGUGGUUCUUGUGCUGCGGUCUGUCGCGAUGAAUGUGGAAGAUUCAUGAGAGCCUCUUCGAUUACAAUCGAGGGCAUGACCGACCCUACAAUACUUGAAGCAUUGGCAUGUAAUGAAGGCUUGUCUCUGGCCUUGGACCUUAACAUCUCAAAAGUUUGUGUUGUUUCGUACUGCUUAACGGUUAUCAAGAGUCUACAACAAGAUGAUCUUUGCUAUUAUAGUGCGAUCAUUAAGGAUAUUGUGGCAAGGAAGGAUCAGUUCCGUGAUGCUGUUUUCAGACGUGAGAAGAGAACUCUUUAUAGAGAUGCUCAUAAUCUAGUUAGAGCGGAGUUACCGCUUUCUGUUGGCCAUCAUAUUUGGCUUUUAAGUACCCCAUGCAUUACUUGUAUUCCUGUUCAAGUUGGUGUUGAAUAAAGCUGGCCUUUCCCCUAAAAAUAAAAUAUCCGUCCAGCAGAACUGAAUCCCCAAUAGCGCGGUUACAAGACAAGAAUGAUUAUGUAAUUAUGUUCCUUGUUAUCGUUUCACUUUGCACCACAGAAAGAGUGCUCUGUUUGGCUCCACCAAGGCAAAAGGAAAGAGAAACAGGAACCGAGGAGUGUCUCAUUGUCAAUUACUAAUUCAGCCAACGAACCCAUAAAACAUGUACCGACGCAAAUGCAAUUCAUCAGAAGUGUUCUUCAAGGAAGAACACAGACAGGGUAUCGGACUACCGGUGACUAUGUUUGGAUAUCUUACAUGCUCAGAAUGCUGCGGGCGAGUUAACUGGGAAAUAAUUGAAGAUGAAGAAAGGACACAGCAAGUUACAUAAGCGGCAACAGAUUUUGCUAGAGUGGCACAGCAGUGGCAGGUGCUGGAACAUGCACCUCAAAUACAAUCAGGAACUCGAACUGUUUAUAGCUUUGGACACUUUCUUCCAUCGCAAAACACUUCGAGUUUGUUCUUAUCAAGCAAAUGGUUUUCGAUUAGGCCCAGAUAUGACAUGGUGUUAUUACAUGCAUAACAGCGCUGGCUUGUCAAGCACCACUGGCAUACAGGCGAGUCCACUCCUUCGCUGCAAAGCAAAAAAAAAAUUGACAUGUUAGGUACAAAAAGCAAUGAAAAGUGGAGCAAAAUGACAUGCUAGUGUAUCAAAGUGCAGUGUUAGCGUGCGGCUUUGUUGGCUGAAUUUUCAGUUACCUGUCUCGACAGCUUCAGCUUCAUUGGAUUUCCAGUGUUUUGCCACGUUUUCUGAGAGCGGAUCAUCUGGAUUCGGAGCGCUCAGCAGUGCCUGAAUGCUGCAGACCAAACAUUGUAAAGAGGCAAAAAAAAAAGAGUAUACAAUAGUGGAUACAAGAAGCAACCCUCUGGAAAUACGAUAAUAUGAUACGAUCAUGAACUAUAAUGAAACUAUUUGGCCAAACAUGCCACGGAAGACAGAAGAGGUUGCUACCUCAAAAGAACAGUACGUAUCUGAAGAGCUGGGCUCCAUUUGUCCUUCAGGAUAUCGAGGCAUAUCCUACCAAGCUGCAGUGCAAGUCAAUCCGAAAUGAGAAACUGUUAUCGAAUGAAGUUCCAUUGAGAAUAUCAGUUCCCUACCUUGUCAAUGUUGGGAUGGUAUAUUUUUGUGAGAAACCUAACCUGCGUCAGGAAUAACCAAAGAGUGAUGUCCAUCAGAAAGAAUCACAACAGAGACAACAUACAGAAAAGUCAAAUAGAAUUGUGUAACUACUUUGGUUAGACGACAGUGUCACACUAAAACUAAAACAACCAUGUUGAUAUCCGUAAGAGUAAAACAGUCCAAGGACAGGAGUUGAGAACAAAAUAUUCAGCUACCUCUUAUUUAACAUGAUGGAAAUUACUACUCCCUCCGAUCCAUAUUAAUUGUCGAAAUAUUACAUGUAUCUAGACAAUUUUUUAGCCAUAGAUACAUCCAUAUUUGGGCAAAUUUGAGACAAUUAAUAUGGAUCGGAGGGAGUAUUAGUCUGAGUCUCAGAUGAUAUAUCACAAUGUCAGUACACUCCAAAUAUAGCAUUGCCAAUUAAGUAAAGUAAAGUACGGAACUGUGCAAAGGAGAUUAGUUAAGUGAACGGAGAGAGAAAUCUAGUAUGGAUACGAAAAGUAUUAACACAAUACUAAACAUGGGCAUUCAGUAUUCCUGAUCACAAAGAUGGUAUGCAAAUCUAUUAAUGGUACAUAUCAACAACAAACAUGGGCGCUGCCCAAAAUAAGAUGUCACAAUAAAUUGCUGGUUUCGGUUAACCACAGGCAUAAUUAAACGUCCAUCCCACUGUCGCACCAUAGCAUGAUAAAAUCAUUGCGAAGAUCGCUCUGCCAGAUUUUGAACUCAAAUUUCAGUUACAACUUACAACUAGGAAAUGAACCAAAUUCCACAUCAAGGAGCCUACCGGGACAAGAAAAUCCAUCACAAUAUGUGUCAAACUAAUAACUUCUUAAACAACCAUCCACUAAUACUUGAUCAAAAAAUUACUUUUGGAGCAGCCAUCGGAUAUUCCUCAGGUAAGAAAAGUUCAAGCUUGAAAACUCCACCUGUCCAACACAUAUUAGAAGAAAUAUCAGGAGGACCAGACACAGACAACUAAACAAAAUAAUGUUUCACCCAAUUAAAAAUGUCAUAAGCAAAUACAGUAUACAAAGAUAAGUAAACCAAGCUUAAAUAAAUAAGAUAACAUAGUGACAAAUGUACUGUCUAACAAUAGGAAAACAGGUCGUUCUGUGUACCAUUUAUCAUAUACAUGCACCGCAUUUCAUUACUCCAUGUUGCAUGGAAACAUGGUAGAUAGUUCCUUGUGCCGUAUAUCAGUAAACUUCAGUAAUCGCAAAGGUUAAGGAAACCCAAGACAUUCAAUUCCCAUAGGUUACUGAUAUAUGGUACAGUUGUAGAUCUAGCAUGUUAAGGAAACUACAAACUUGUGCCCCAUAUCAUAUCUAAACUAAUAGCAGGUAUAACUGUUGAAGUAUAAGGUGAAUUGCCCUCAUUUCUCCAUCAGCUUAGGCUUUUAGGGGCACUGGUUCGGCCCAUAUGCAACUCUCCAUGGUAUCCGAGCCAAGAGGUCCCGAGUUCAAGCUCAAUAUAAUAAAAAGGCACUUUUGAUCCAUGAGGGGGAGUGUUGAAGUACGAAAUGAAUUGCACUCGUUUCCCCAUCAGCUUAGACUUUUGGGUGAACUGGUUCGGCACAAGCAACUCUACAAAAGGCAGUCUUCCUAUGUGGAAUAACUUCUACAAAUAAAAAACCAGGUUCACUAGAGCUUAAGAUAACCGAUGAAAUGGACUUGUCAAGCUAUAUUUUGUGAUGGAUUCAACAAAGCAGAAUCUCAAAGUAUAGAAUCCAAAAGGCACAGAAGAGUACAAUUACCACUGGAACAGCUGGGUACAAGAUGGUCGGAUUGCUGGUCUAGCAAACAUAAGUUUAGAAGUGUAUAGUUCCGGCAGCACUAGAACAACACCUUUAUGUGACCAUCCUGAUAUGAUCAUCCAUCUGUGAUGUUUUACUACAUAUUUGCAGCAUUUUACAAACAAAAAGAGCCAUAGAUACGAAAAUGGGGACGCGGUGACCACAGUUACAGUCCUAAAUUGCCACAGAACUACGCAUUCGUGCUCCAAAGUAUUACAGGGUUAUCGGCAUACGAAACAUUCCAACAGAAAUAAAAUGAAAAGGAGGUUUUACCUUCAUAAGGAGACUGCGCCGGACCAAGGACCAUGACAUUGAAGUAGCGCAUGUUCUCCUCCGACGGCGACGCGCUAAUCCCCGGCGCUGCACGCACCCCCCCAACACACGAAUCAGCACAAACAUCCGAGGCUCGAACGCGGACAACACAACAGGAGCAUCGAAUUCUAGGAAAACGAACCUGGUUCGCUGAGCAGCCGCUGCGUCUCCUGCAGCAGAUCCAAAUUCCGAACAGAUUAGGCACCACGCACAAGGAAUAACCAGACGAUAAGGUUAUCAUAUCGCGUUAGAGUCUCAGAAACGGCUGUAGAUCUGGGGGGGUGAGGGGCGAUCGGAUCGCGGGGUAGGGCGCGCGCACCUUGAUGAUCCGGCGCGGGAGGUUGCUGUUGGCCAUGGAGUCCGGCCGGGGCUGGAGCGAGAGCCUAGAGGGGAGGGGGGGAGGGACCGCCUCGAGCUUCGCGCGGCGACGGAGGAGAAGACAGCGCGAGAGAGGUCAAAGGAGUCGUCGAUCUGUCGGGGAGGGCGAGCCGGGGGAGGAGGCGACGAACGAACAGAAAUGGGUCAGGGUCCGAUACUGUGUACCACGUAUUUAUAAACUCCACGCUACAGCCGCUGCUGCUGAUAUUUUCCUUUUCCUCUUGAGCUGGUGUUUUCGUUUUAUACUCUACCGACCUGUUUGUUUGUCCUUCUAUUUCAGUUUUUUUGCAUCUGGCAAUCUUAAAAGCAUCUUUUCUGUUUACACGUGAAGCUGAGAGGCACCUCCGAACAUGCUAAACACUGUUUACACAUGAAGCUGAGAAGCACCUUCGGACGUGCUAAACAGAAAAAGUGCUUUUGAGAUUGCUAAAAGUACCAAAAACUGAAACAGAAGUCCAAACAAAUAGGCCCAGAGUCUGCUGGAUUGUGAAUUUGAAUACGCACACGGCGAAAUCAAAAUACGAAGUCAUGGCCACUAUGUUUAAAAUAAAAUUCGUGUACUUGGACAAAACAGAAGUUGUUCGGUGAAUAAAAAAACCCUAGAAAUGAUUUUCCGACGUAAUAAACGGUAUAAUAGUACUACUAGUAGUACGAGGGCUGCUGCAGCGGAGAUUAAAAAAAAACGGUGUUCGUUUUAGGUGAGCCAGGGAGAGCAUCUCUCCACGCGAAGGGAGCACACAAUUUAUGCAUGUGCAGAGAGAGAGAGCACGGAGAAGAACAACCUUUGGGUUUGCCUAAUUGCAACGGCCAACUUGUGACUUUGUGUUGUGCGCGCUCGUCGUGGAAGGAUCUCAGGCGAAAAGGAAGGUGGGGGAAAGCUCGAUUAUUCUCCGCAGCUUCAAUCCCACGCUAAGCCGCCUGGUCGAAAAGGUUUGGCUGGCCAAACCGGUUUUGCAUGGUACUCCGUAACAUGUUUUUCAAGUUUUUUAGAACUUUGGAGGAACUCGAAACAAAUUGAGAGCAUACGCUUUCUAAGAGUUGAAAAGUAUUAUUUUCGAAGCACGGGCAGUCGGGCACGGGCAUCAGAGCAUCUCCGUUGCCAGUCGCUCGAAGCGAAGAGAAAUCACGCACUUCCUCUGCUACCGAAGCGAAGGCAGGAACAAGAACAACAGCGACGAGACACAGCCAGAAAUUCGGCAUAGUAUUUGCUCAGGGCUAGAUUCCACUGUAUUCGCUGUAAUCUGGUAAAGCAUGUCGCAUGUGCCCAGACUACAGGAGGAUUUCAAGACAAGUAUCCAGUCCUGUCUUAUUUACAACAGAUAGCGUGCAAAACUAUGCUCAAGAAUCAAGAUAGAUAAAUAACACUGGAUUUCCCCAGUACUUGCUACUUCACCGAACUACGGAGUACAACUGGUAAAGAAUAGUUUCACAAGUCGGAUCCUGAGAUCACAAUGAAAGAGAAGAUACAACAGGGAGUAUUAAAUCUGCACAUGAUCACAAGGAAAUCCAGAUGCACAUGAAUCCAGACAAUAGGAAGAACAGGGAACAGUUUGACAUAUUUUUUCUAAUAAAACAGAAGGUCAGAGUUGCAUGCCUACAUUGUCAACAAAAUAAUAGAUGAAUUGCACGAACAUACCUCAACGACUCAAUGUCAACAUGGAUUUACACUAACAAUUUUUAGUCUUUGACCUUUCAUACUCUUCAGAAUUAAUUAUUACCAGACUAAAAACUACAAUGCACCUAAGAACACGAGCUUUCGCUUCAGAAUAUCCCAAGGAUGGUGGGGGCAGGUGGAGCACGCCAUCAUUGGAGAGCAAGAGCAACGCCAUGUCAUUAACUGAUCAUCUUCAAAUGAUAAUCUGUAGAAGAGACAAUGGACAAGAGUCAAUUGAUCGCUUCACCAAACAGUAACAUUACAAAUUUGCUAUACAGGCUCCAAACAAACUGAUUUUCUAUCAGUCUACGCUUAAACAUAGCAGUUAACAGGGGCAAAGCUUAACACAGGCCCAUCAGCAAUCAUGCAGAGAACAAGGCAAGGCAGAUCAUCCAUGGGAAUCACACAACAAUCCACAAGGAAGCAUGCAUUACAUUCUUUGGAAAGCCAAUCAAGAGAAAUCUGGGUUCAGCGAUCGGAAAGAUUUACAAUGGAUAAGAUAUGUCAAAAUUUCAGUACUGGAAACUUCAGUUACAAAGCAAUUUGAUAAAUCUUACAUGCCAAGACAAGUAUAGAAGAUAUAUCUUUAUAUAAUAAUACUGACUCGUAAUUGUUAGGCUUACAGCAAAAAAAAGGUUAAGUUUCAUUAAACAAGCUUAUUUAUCGGUCUCUGAGGAGCUGGGUUACCUGUAGAUAAAUGGGACCAGAAACUAAGAGGUUACCUGUUGACUCAAGCUUAUGCUUAUUUUGGCGAUACACGUACUCUUAGGCUGGACAUAAUUCACCCUAACGAUUCUCACUAAGACAUGAGAAAGGAAUUCUAGUACGGAAAGGAAGUGAAAACCAGCGCAUGUGCAUCCAAGUGACUCCUAGUGAAACAGCACAGAGAGUGUCCCAGAUCGAUUUUAACUCUGAGUCACCAAGUGGUUCGUCGGUAUCAAUUUGAUCCUAACAGAUUCCAGGCAAUACCAUCAUAUGUCACCCAGUCAUGAUUUCCAGGAAAAGAAUAUAAGUAUUUUCAUCAUACAGACAGAAUUGAAGAAAAACUAUUAUUAGACCAUACAUUAUGGUCUUUCAUUUGUCAUGACAAAAAUGUACUCCCUCCGAUCCAUAAAAGGUGACGCCCAUUUUGUACUAAGUUAGCACAAAUUUUGUACUAGGUGGGCGACACAUUUUAUGGAUCGGAGGGAGUAAUAAGAAACACUAAAAGCUCAAGAUAGAAACUAUGAUUAGUUAGUUCAAUCUUUUAAUAACACCUAUGACAUAACAGAGCUGCACAAUUAUAAUUCUGUAAAUUUUAUCACACCCAAAAACCCAGAGAACCAAACGAUAAGAUACAUAAGUACUUAAAUCUACAAUCAUAACGAGAUGGUCAACAUAUCUCAUCAAUGCACAAAAUUAAAUAGAAAAACACACGACGAAAACAUCCACCAAACAUUAUCUACUGAAGACACAAAAUAUAAAUAGAAUCUCACAAAGCCUACACCAGGAUAGAUCUUAUAUGUGAAUAUCAAUGCUCAACAGGACCGAAAGCCUUAUUUAUGAAGGUUAUCGCACAUUUGGGCUAAGGCCAUUGUAACAUAAAAUAGUCCAAAAUGCACAACAUAUGGGGUGGUCGGACUUCGGCAACGAAACUUCAGACAUACUCGCUAGAUUUUCCGAAGCAACAGUAUCUAAACUUUUUUGUUGCUAAUCCUCCGCAGCAACUCGAGCCAAUUGUUUACCAAGAUCCUUAUCGAGAUUAGCUAGAUUAUUAAACCUUGACUGUAGAUAAACGGACAUGUAUGUAACAUAUUGCUCAGAACAAUCAAGUCGGGCUCACCCAAGCUUGUUUACACCCAUAUGAAGGAAAGGCUUAUUGAAUUGCAUUGUCAGGAAAUCAGCACUUCCCCAAACAAACUGAAAGUACCUUUAUUCCACAACCUAUAAACAUCAAUGGAUAUACUCAGAACACAACAGCUUACAUGUGUGGACCUUCCCACCAUUAAGGCCAAACAUAGUAACAAUAAGUUCCACUUAUUAAAAUGUCAUUGUAUACAAGAAUGUCAGAUUAAAUUAUGCCUCUACACAAGCAUACCAAUCCUGUCACUAUCACUGAAAGUCUGAAACAUUAACUAACAGCCAACAUCAUGCCACAUAACUUGUAAUUUUAGCACAUCAACAUUAGCAUUACAGAAACAAUAGUAGCCACAGAUCACAUAAACGAACAAAAACAAUCUACAGCAAUGUUCUAAACUGAAAUGCUAAAACAUACUUUACCUAAAACCCUCGUCCGCAUCAGAGGUAAUUGGAGUUGGAAAGGAAAGGCAGCGCAGCAACGGAUGAAAUCAGCUCCACUCCACCAGCACCAUUGGAUGCAGCCCCUCCGCUCUUCUUCGUGCGCUUCACCCUUGCGAGCUUCACGUGCGCAUCGACGAAGUUCUCCAUGCGCUUCACCUCCAGCUGCUUCAGGAAGUCAAUUCGCUCGCGUUCCAUCUCUAGCGAAUGCUUUUGUUUCGCACUCUCCACGCGCUCAUACAUCUCUGCAAAAGCCUCAAUUGCCCUCGCCAGCUCGCUGACACCACUAUCCCCAUCACCGCCAGCCUCGCGACGAAAGGGACGCUUGUUGCUACCGCCGGAGCGCGCCGACGAGACAGAACGCGACGGUGACCUCCGCAAGUUGUCAUGGUGGUUGUUGUUGUUGUUACCACCAGGAUGAUCACCAGAGUCCUCCGAAUCAGACACCGCUGCAGCGGCGGCAGCGGCUUCCUGCUGGAUGAACGCAGCGGCAGGGAGCAGCGCCCCGCGGCGGUAGCUGGGGAGGGGCAGAGCCAUGGGCGGGGGCGGGGACGGCGAGGAAGAAGGCGACGGGUACUUCCUCGCGGCGGUAGAAGAAGGAUGGACGGGCAGGGCGAGGUGCGGGGCCAUCGCCGGCGAGGGCCGCUUGUUGGCGGCGGAGUUGAGGGUGGGGCCGACGAGUCGGUCGAGCUCGUCGAAGAAGCUCCAGCCCGACGGCGCGCCGCGGACGCGCUCGGCCUUGUACUUCUUCUUGAGGGUGUCGACGCGGUUCUUGCACUGCACGUCGGUGCGCGGCGGGCGGCGGCGCGCGGCGGCCCCGCGGCGCGAGUUGACGGCGUUGGCCACCUCCUGCCACUGCUUCUGGCGCAGGUUGCCGCGGUUGAGCUCCACGUAGCGGCUGCCCCACGCGUCCACCAGCGCCGCCGUCUCGCCCUCGCUCCAGCAGUCCUCCCGGUAGGGCAGGUUAGGGUUGGGCGGCGGCAGCCUCCCAAACCCUCCCCCUCCUCCUCCUCCCCCUCCUCCCGCCGCCGCCGCAGCAGCAGCCGCAGCCAUCUCCCUCACCUCCAUCGGAACCAGAUCUCGCAGGAGCAAACCCUAACCCUAGCUAGCCCGCCCGCCGAGAGAAGAGGACCGAGCGAGCCUCGGGGAAGUCGCGCGUGACGGUGGGCUAUGUGAGCGGUGGGGGGUUCGGGGUUGGAAUAAAAGGACACGGCGAGGGAAGGGGGGAGGUGGGGUCGCCGGCCGCGAGGGGUCCGGGUUCCGUCCGUCACGCACGCGGCACGUGACGCGUGACCGGCGAGGGGGGGGCGGCAUCGGCAUGGCAUAUCUCGCUCGCUCUCGUGUGUCGUGGGUGACCGGAUUCGGAUCGGAGACGUGCCGCCGUUGGAUUGCGUUUGACCGGGUAACCGGCGAUUACUUUCGGGUUUCGGAGGGCGGGUGGGAUAAUGACAGCCAGCCAGGCACAGGCAAAGCAGAGCGCGGCGACAGGCGACAGCCGGAGACCGGACGGAAUACGGUGGCUGGCGCGGGGGUGGGAAAUUACCGCGUUGCCCCUACCCCGGGGAGCAGGCCGGGGCGGCACGCGGCAGGGGCAAGGCGGGGAUUUCGCGUGGGGCGGCGCGGUGUCAGGGGGUGAGCUGGUCGCCGUUGGUCGGUUUGCGUUUCGGGGCCGCCGAAAGAGGGGAGAGGAGAGAGAGAGAAACGCGCCGAGGAUGAUGGGGAAGGGAGAGGAGACUCGCGAACCGAAGACACCGCUGCUCCUCGCUCUGUACUCCAGUCUAGGCUUCUAGCUAGACUCGGCGCGGUGGAGUGGGUGGGUGAAGAGACUGAGGCGCGGGGCCCGCGUGCAAGCAGGCAGGGCGGGCAAUUAUUGUCGCCUCUGGUGCCGUCGCUCGGUACAGAGGACGGACGGACGGACGGCGUGGGCAAAAUUUAAUCGGCGUGCAGCAGGUGCCGGCUGCCGCCUGCAGGCGCCGGUCCUUCGGAUUGAUCGGUGGAUGGAUGCACUCGCCAAUGGCAAUUCAUCCAUCAAACAUCAUUCGUUACUGUAUAUUUUGUGGCAAAUCAAGAUUAGAGGUUCAUCAUCCGUUUACCGUUUUGGUUUGUCCCCUGGCGUCAUCAUCACCGUCUGGGCUUUGGAACUGACAAUAUGGUUCUUUCGGUGAAAUUCAGGUGAAAGUAAAACUCCACCGGUAGAUAGCAGCGGCCAUGGUGCCGUCGUGGGAACAGAGCAGUACGUACGUUACGGGCUCGCGUCAAAUCCUCGACGGAACCGUGCCCGCUGCACCGGUGGGUGAACAGAACACCAUAAAUCCCUCGCGGCCGUGGAGAGAAGUCAGGGGAACCGCGUGUACGUACGUGGUCCUCUCCUGCUAGCUAUAGCUAGGCUGCCCCGUGCGACCGGCGGCGAGGAAACGGCACGCUCGGGAGCCGUCAACAUUGAAUCGGAGGGCCGGGCGGCCGCGAUAGCGUAGCGACCAGCGAGAUACUCAGUCAGUACGGGCUACUUCGGGCUGUCACGCACGCACCGAGCCGGACGGCCGGGCCGACGCGUCGGGCUUGGGAACCACCGGCGCCGCAGGGGCGGGCUCGGACCGCGUCCAACGCCGCAGGCUUUGCAAAGCUUGCGUUGCGUGUACCCCACGCUACCACGCGGGUCCCCUCCACCAAUCAAUUCCAGGCCGGACGGACGGCCGGUACCGUGUACCGACGCGUCGCCCGCCGGAUCUCCGUGGCGUUUUCCUUUGCCUUUAGUUGUGUACCCGCCCCGCUUCACGCCGGCCUUGUGCGGCAGUUGUGUACACACACGCACGCACUUGUACUACUACUGGUGGCCUUGGACUUUGCUGGUUGCUGGUGCGCACCCAGCUUUUUGCGAACGGUUCCGGGAAACGCCGGCGGAAACUUGUGCGGCGGGUCGGUCGGUUGCCGGGGAAGGAAGGAUUCUUCACACAAGCAACGUGAGAUCUGACCAAGGGGAGCAGCAGCCAGCCAGCACGAGCAGCAGUUCGGCGCUGGAGCUACGCGCGAGCUGGGGCAGGAGCUACACGCCAUGUACGUUGCGUCCCCGGGCCGGUUUGAUUUACGACCGGAAGAGCCGCAGCGUUUCCGGCGCGAUGACCGGACAAAUUAGCCGGCUUGGCCGAUGGCUAUACUAUAUCGGAUUGGACAUAUGGAGUGAUAGUGCUCCCGACAGGUAGGAGACGGACGGACGAGAGCGAGUAAACUGCUGCCUGCGACUCUGCGAGUCCUGCCGUGCACGGCUCCAUGGACGGACCGCACGUCCAUGGCCUGUGUAGCUCCGACCGCACCGGACGCAGGCAAGCGGGACGUGCUGUUCAUCCUGCAGACGGGACUGACCCAAGUUAUUGGAGACGCGUCGGCAUUGAAGCCUUUUCCAUUCUCAGGAGCAUGACGUAAUCACGGGAUCACGCACGGCGUGGGCAAAAGAUUACCAGCCGCGCCGCGCGUGCCUGACUGCCUGUGCAGCUGUGCUAUUUUGAGUGCAGAAUACAGUUCUUCAGAACCGCGCCUGUUUUUUGAGGCUAACUGAACAUGCAGUUCCAUACAAUUUCAAAACUCUACGUAUAAUACGGAAGGGUAAAAGAUACUGAGGCGGUCGAGACCACUGUCGCGACACGCGAAGCCUGAAAUCGUAGCGGAUUUACUUUUUCUUUCUCUCGGGGCAACGUCCAGCAACAGCAAGUGACUGCUUGCCGGUUCAUCUGGCCGGACUGAAGGUGCAGAACUAUCUGCUUCCAUGACCAUGUCAUCUUACUGAACUGAUGUUGAUGUUGAUCGAACGGAAACUUGGUAUUAGUGCAAUUUGCAUUUGGUAGACGGGGGGUGGGAUGAAGAAGCUGCAGCGCAUUGGUCAGGGCAGCAGAUGGAAAACGCUGGAGACGGAGGUCAAAGAAGACGCGCGUAAAGGAACCGGUCAGAACAGUGACUUCCUUACUGGAUUUAGGUGACAGGCUGAAAAUUGUUUAUACUUUGGCACGUUGCCUGGGACACAGCAGUGGACAAGUUCGGUUCGGAGAAUUCUAUCCUCCAGUCAUGUUCCUUCUCGGUGAUUAACUAUCAGCUCAUCUGCCAAUCACAUGUUCUGUGGUGACAGCAGCCAGCAAAAAUAACCGAACGGAUUAGUGAUCGCCUAGAUUAUGUAGCUCAAUUUGCAUGCGUAGUUUCAAACGGUAUAAAACGAUGCCUUCGAAGAAAUGGGAGUAGUAAAAAACAUGUGGACUCGAUUUGGGCCGGGCCGCGAUAUCUUCGGUUCUCCACCCUCUUACGCGCAGCGUUUCUUCUCAGUGUCUGCUCAUCACUUGCGUUAGCUUGUAUUGUUUGCCUUCGCUUAAUAUUAGUGCCAUGUUAUCAUGGCUCCAUCGCCCAGUCGAACGCCGGCUAUCAGUUCAAAUUAUGGAUAGUCUAUUGGCUUUGAAUAAUGCGUGUCCUUGCUCUGAUUCCGUUGAGUGUCAUUCCAAGAGUAGGUAUCUAUCAGAAGAAUUUUCAGCAAAUGUCAGUGCUGCUUGAAGUCAACGAGUACUAAUCACAACAUGUGUGAACAUUUGCCAUCCUCCUGCGGUGCACUCUGACCUGCAUUGGAGAGCUGUAUUGCAGCCUGAAGGUCUUCUUCUCUAUUCUACUUCUACAUAUCUACCCACGUGUAUAUGCAGUAUCCUCCGAUGGUUUAGCCCAUGGGCAAUGCAGUUGUCUGCUUCAAUUCUUGGUGUUUCAGAACUAGUAGUACUACUAGAUAUGAUCAGUAUGCUGGGGACAGGACAGUAUGAAUGUACGAUAGAUAAGGUCCUAGAACAUGGGCCACAGGUUAUGCAGAUCGCAGACACGAGUGUUUGGCUGGAACUGAUCUCCGAAUGCGAGACUCCGAGAAACGUUGAUGCCGCUUUCUGUCGAUCACCUUGAGCCAUUGUCCGUCUGCUGGCCUGGCAGGGAAAGUCUACGGAAUGCCAUCUCGAAAGCCAUGGAAAUUCUGUUUUGCCUGACAGAACUCUGGCGUACAUGAGCAACAGCGACCGGAGCGUGGUUUGCCUGCGUGCUUGACUGUAUGGUCACGACGAACACGAGGUGGCGACCAUCCGCCGCGUUAUCCAGGACUGCACCCGUCAGAGAAGGAUCCUUCACUUUUUGGGAAUCCAAUCACUUCGGGAUCCAUCAGAGCAGAAGACACGGCCAUUUCGCCGGCGGCUUUCCCCAUACAGUGCACAUCUCGUGAACUUCCGUCCAUAUUUUCUGGCCAAAUUUGCAAAGGAUUUGUGCUUUUCAGAGUGCAGCAAACGUAGCAAUACCAGGAAACUACGGAGUAGAAUAGGAAGGAACGUACGCCUGUUUGUUCGGGCGGCAAAGUCAGAGCGACACUCUCUCUACUUUGUUUGUUCGUCAGGCCAGGACGCCCGCCAAACCCGACAUGGAUAACUCCAUUAUUGACGAUGGAAAGUAGAAAUCUGACCCCGGGGGCACUAGCAGACGACACUAUCCACAUUGUCUUCACACACCGAGAAUAUGACAAAAUAACAUGCAUUCUUAAUUCACCUAUCGUCCCCAGUACACACCAUCAGAAAACAUCUUCGAUCUUCUAAGGCGUGGAUGCAUUAGGGGUGCGUAUAAAAAUAAUCAUACUCCUUCCGAUACAUAAAAAGUUUCCCACAUUUAGUACAAAAUAUGUACUCCCUCCGUCGAACAAAGGAUGUUUCAACUUUGAUUAAAUUUGAAUGCAUCUAUACACUAAGUCAUGUCUAGAUACAUUUAAAUUUUGACAAACUUGAGACAUCUUUUGUUGGACGGAGGGAGUACUAAUUUUAGUACAAAAUGUGUGACACUUUUUAUGAAUGGGGGGAGUAUCUCCUAGACUCUUUUGAUUCAAAUGAGUUAAUCCUUCAGAAUUUUUUCUAUGUAGGCUUAUUUCAUUCGUAGGAUUAGAUUUUAGUGGAAAUUUGCCUAUGGUUCACUUUGCACUGCAGUGAUGCAAACCAGAUUCCGCGAAAACCCACUUCUAGUUCAUUUUUCAAAUCUUCAAUUCAAAUUUUGAGCAAAAAUUUGGAUAAAAGACUUGAGAAUUGAACUAAAAGUUGACCAUCAAUGGGAUCCCGUUUGCAUCUCUACUGCUCUCAAUUCCAAAGUAAAUUUUCCAUCUAAAUCUAAUCACUUGAAAAAAUUCCUUUGUUUCCAUGAUAACUAUACCAAUGCACGUAAUGUUUUUCUCUGUUUUUCCUCUAAUGCUAGAUUGAGUCUGUUUUUCCUUUAAUGUUUUUCCAACUCGAUUAGUUUAUUCAGGUGGUUUCUUCCUGUAGAAAACAACAUAUCAUGACAUUUCAAUCUUGUGUUUGCUAUUUCAGGGCUCAUUCACUCUACAUGCGUUUUAGAUGAUUUUUCUACAAGAUUUCAACUCUUACACCUUGUUUGGCACAUGUGGGUUUCUUACGUUUUCUAUUUCUACUCUACAAUCUUAAAAUCAUGUUCUCCUUCUGACCUUUGUUCUCAAAUUUAUCUAAAUACGGAUGUAUCUAUGUUUAAAAAAUGUCUAUAUAUAUUUAUAAUAUUUCAGUAACUAAUAUGAAUCGGAGCAACUAACUCGAACGAGCCCUCGGUGUUUGAAUAUUUAAAUACUCCUGAAUGCAAGUAUAGUUCUGCACUCCUACUGCAGCUUGCUACCACGAAACUAAACAUUUCUCUUUCUGCAGCCCCCGACUCGAUCUAGCCGCAGUCCAUGUCGUUCUUUUCGCCCUGGCGUGUGCAAGAGUCGAACCCAUAGUGUGAACAAUUGAGUUAGGCACGAGCCGGAGAGGAGGAGAAAGGACAAAUUAUUGCUCAGAUUAAUCAUCACCUCGAUCGUUGCGGCGCAAUACCGUUAUAUAACGACGGAAUACGGGCCCACACGUCAGUGUAAAGCGAGCUGCUUGCCGCUUUCUCCCUCUUGCGUGACGCCGUCGCCGUCCAGAGCCAUCUGGCCACCGGGCUCCCAGCCCCCCACAGAUGUGCCCCCUGCAUGCGCGCCAUGUAUCAGCCUCUGAUACGUCAGGCCAGGAACCAUCCUCAGCCGUCAGUUCGUCCAUCUCGACGGCUGCGAUCGCGCUGCCGCCACUUAUAAAUAGCACCGAUGCACGCGCGAGAAAGUCCGUUUUACCUUGCUGGGGGGGGGGGGUUUUACUUACAUGAGCGCGGGAAUGGAGGCGGAGCUGGAGGCGGCUCAGCGGCGCUUCCGGCUCUGGUUCCGCGGGCUGCGUUCCCUGCGGCGGGACCUCCGGUCGGCCCGCUGGGCCGGCGACGACCCGGCCCAGCUGGGGAAGCUGGCGGGCGGCUUCGUGGCCCACUUCUCCGACUACUGCGCCGCGCGGGCCGAGCUGGACCCGGUCCUGCUGCUGUCGGCGCCCUGGGCGAGCCCCGCGGAGCGUGGCGCCGCCUACUGGCUGGCCGGGUGGCGGCCGACCACGGUGGUCCACCUGCUGUACACCGAGUCCAGCCGCCGGUUCGAGGCGCAGCUCCCUGACCUGCUCCUGGGCGUGCGGUCGGGCAACCUGGGCGACCUCAGCCCGGCCCAGCUGGCCCAGAUCGACGAGCUCCAGCGCCGCGCCGUCGCCGAGGAAGACGCGCUCUCAAGGGAGAUGGCGCGGCUGCAGGAGGGCCACGGCGUCGUUGGCGGAGACGGGGAUCUGGACGUGGAGGGGAUCGUGAGGCGCGCCGGGGCCGUGGUGGCAGGGGCCGACGCGCUGCGGCUGCGCACCUUGAAGCGCGCCGUGGAGAUCCUCGAGCCGGCGCAGGCCGCCGAGCUGCUCGUCGCCAUGGCCGACAUGGAGAUCGGCUUCCGGGAGUUCGGGCUAAAGCACGGCGACGGCGGUGGCGAGCCGAGCCGCGGCGCGUAGGCAUAGGCGUGGCGCGGUCCAGAGAGCAGAUCCUCAUCCGCAUCGGCGGCUCGGCCCAGUUUUUUUCUUCCAAGUGUUUGCGCUGGUUUGACUGGGACAGAAAGACUGCUCACUGUUGUAAUCUUGUUGCCGUGACGAUUGUCUUUGCCGAACUGUCUCGCGGUGGGUGCUGCGUCGUAGCUGGACCGUGUGCGUGUGCGUGUGCGUGCGCGUGCGCCUGCUGGGAUGUCGUGUGAGAAAGCAAUAAAAUGCAAGGAAUGCAUGCUUGGUUUCGUUGAGAAGUCAUAUUUUGUUUUCGAGCAAGCGGUUUUUUUAACAUCUUUUCCGAUAAAUUGGCUGUUUGUCUGUUCACUACAGAAGACCCGUCCUUUUAAAAACGGUUUUGCUAUUAAUAAAUCCAUGUUUUAGUUAGAGUAGUCAUAGGAUUUUAAUCCAAUGAUAGCAAGUGAGAGAUGAGAGAACGAGGAUGACUCUCAGAUCUCCAGCAGUUAUGAAACGUCGACUGAUAUUUAAGGUUCAUUUUUUAAAAACUUGCGACUUAGAAAUAGCCAUACCCAUUUAAAAAACGUGUUAAAUCUUAUUAAAAUAAGAUUCUGAUCGAUAACUUAUUUUUAAUAGGUAUUGCUACGGAAAAGUUGUUUUUCUAGUUAAAGAUAAGUUGAAACACCAACUGUCAUAUCUUGAUCCAACGGCGGCACAUUGAAGAUGGGGUGUAGCUGCUAGCUUCGGCAUUGAAGAUGGCGUCAUGGUAGGGAGAAGCUAUCAAGUUAUCCGAGAUAGAGGAGGCACUGAUGGAACACAUCCGCUUGCUAGGCUUGUAAUCGGACAAAUAAUUCAAACAGCUUUGCUAUUCAUAAGACAAUUGAGAAAUAAUUAUUUUCAAGCCGACGCUAACAAUCGUUUAAUCCAAUCUCUGAUAUGUGUGAGAUCUAUACAAGUGUUGUUGACUGAAAAUAACUGCUUCCUCCGCGCCUGGAUACUCGUCGUGGUCCGGAAAUCCAACCAGUUGUUCGUUCGAGCCAGAUCCAAACGACACCGGACAGACAACCACGGGCGGUUCUACCGUGCCGCACGGUCACGCGCCCAAUUAACCGGCCACACGGCCAAGCGAAUCCAGGAUUAAAAAUAGGAAUCGCGUACAAUUACCGGCCACCCAGCCAGGCAGCCCGCAACGAUAAACCAGCAGUCUCCCGCUCCAUGUUUGGGAGCCAUGCCCAACUACAAACCCAACGUUUCCAAGCUGGCCGCCGCGCCCCGCGACAUCCACACGGCAGAUUAACCCUUCUUCUCCUUUCCUUCCUUCCUCCCUCUCCGCGCGCGCGCGACCUCCCGCAGACCCGCCUCCGCGAAUCUAGCCACCCCCGCGCGUGCGCCACGCACCGUCCGUCCGUCGGACCUCGGCCGGGCCGGCCCGCGGUCGUCGGCGCGCGGAGGGCGUUCGUGAGAAUGCGUGCGGCGGCGAUUGGUUGCUAGCUAGCUAGCGGCAUGCCUGGCAUGAGCGCGUGAUGGCGCCGCCGUUCCUGAAGACCGGGCACGGCCGCGACAGGUUCUCCUUCAGGCGGCGGAAAUCGUCCUCCUCCUCGUCCUCCUCGUCGACGCCGUCUUCUCCGCUCUCGGUGUCGUCCACAGCGUCGGAGGACAUCGCCGACCCGGGCAGCCCCAUGGAGUCGUCAGCGACGACGGGCAAGACGCUGCCCUGCGCCCGGCGGGCGCUCUCGCGGAGCAGCUGCGGGUCCAGGGGCAAGCUGUCCGUCGACCUGAUCCCGCCGCCGCUCGCCGGCGGCCCGUCCGACGCGCCCAGGUCCUCCACCUCCGCCGCGCCGCCCCCCAAGCCUCCCCCCCGCAACGAGGGCCCGCCUUCAGGUCUCACCAUUGUUAAUUUUCUAGUGUCUGUCUGACUUUCUGUCGUCAAAUGCAGAGAAAUGCCUUGUUAUGUUUUCGUGAUCGAUUGCAUGUAUCCAGAUGCUGACAUCGUGAGGGACAAGUUCUCCAAGCUGCUGCUGGGGGAGGACAUGUCCGGCACCGGCAAAGGGGUGUCCUCUGCCCUCGCUCUCUCCAACGCCAUCACCAAUCUUGCAGGUAAUCUCUCCCUUACCUUCCAUUUCCGAUCUUUCCAUUUCCAAUAACAGUCCCUGUCUUUCAAAUCUUCCCAUUCUGUCCGUUGGGUUCUGAUGGAUACUGACACGAUCAGCUAUGAUUUCUUUCUCAUGACGUGGCACAUUGCAGCUUCCGUGUUCGGUGAGCAGCGGCGUCUCCAGCCGAUGGCCGCAGAGCCGAAGGCCCGAUGGACAAAAGAAAUUGACUGGCUUCUGUCCGUUGCCGACCACAUCGUCGAAUUCGUUCCUUCACGUCAGGUGUCCGAGGAUGGCUCCACCAUGGAGGUCAGAAACAAGAGGAUCCUUGCUUAUCACAAGUACCUGGAUGUAGUUCUGUAUCACGGAACAUCUUUAUGCAAAUCCAAUUACAGCGGUGCUAUUUUUCUCUCUCUCCCCCCAAACAGAUAAUGAUGACUCAGCAGCGUAAGGAUCUGCAGAUGAACAUCCCCGCACUGCGCAAGCUCGACGGGAUGCUCCUUGUAAAGCUCUGCCACAUUCUUCUUUGAAAUCAUUUACGAGAAUGACAUGCGUGGAGAUACCUGAUGAAUUGCUAAUAUGCUAUGGCUGCACAUUUCCUGUUGUGGGGGCACAGAGCUAUCUUGACAGCUUCAGGGACAAGCAGGAGUUUUGGUACGUGUCGAAAGACGCAGAUGACUCGGAGAAGGGAGACGCGCCGAAGCAGGAUGACAAGUGGUGGCUCCCGACUGUCAGGGUCCCUCCUAAUGGUCUGUCGGACUCGUCGAGGAGGUGGCUUCUACACCAGAGGGAGCUCGUCGGCCAAGUCCAUAAGGCAACAAUGGCCAUCAAUGCUAAUGUUCUUAUGGAGAUGGAUGUUCCAGAAGCCUAUAUGGAGUCUCUGCCUAAGGUGACCCAUAUGAACACAGCAACAUUGCAUAACAUUUUUCUUUACUUCGGUUCACUGCAUUUAGAGGGAUCGAGACUCACUUUGACAGCAUCUUCUUUUUUUAUGCUUGAUAGAAUGGAAAGUCUAGCCUUGGAGACUCAAUGUACAAGCUUAUAACUGACGAAUAUUUUGACCCAGAAGAACUCAUAGCAUCAGUAGACUUGUCAGCCGAGUACAGCAUCGUUGAUCUGAAGAACCGAAUCGAAGCCUCGAUUGUCAUUUGGCAGAAGAAAAUGACGCAGAAGGAUGCCAAGAUGUGGGGGCAUGGUGUCAGUCAUGAGAAGCGGGGACGGUUUGAGGGGAGGGCGGAGAAUGUUCUUCUCCUCCUUAAGCACAGAUUCCCCGGAAUUUCUCAGUCAGCUCUGGACAUAAGCAAAAUCCAGUACAACAGGGUACUGGCAACCAUCUUCAAUUUUCCACUGUAUUUUCGGAUUUCCUACAGUACUUUAUUACUCAUGCUCAUUGCAUACAUUUUCUCGUUGUGAUUUUUUUGCAGGAUGUUGGCAGUGCCAUUUUGGAGAGCUACUCCAGGACUCUUGAGAGUCUAGCAUACACGGUUAUGUCUCGCAUCGAAGACGUUCUUCGCGCCGACUCCCUUGCUCAAGACCCCAAGAACGCGGAGGCGACGAGAAUGCCGAGCUUAUCAUCAGAUGACACAGACACGGUCGUCCAAGAUGCCAAGGACGAGGUGGAGAGGCUGGGAAGAAUGGAGCCUCUGAACUCGACACUAUUCGACUACGUGGGCCCACGGGACGGAGAUAUCGGGCCCAUGAUGUCGGAUUCACAGGAACCUCGGGGUGCAAAGCUGUCAAAGGUUUCGUCGAUCGCAACCAAGAGGUUCUCCUACCUAGAUAAGCUUGAGAAUUUGGGUGGAACAAGGAGCCCCAUAUCUAGACACUAGUCGCUGCCGUAGGGGAAAAGACGAUCAAUAUGGUGUUGAUGUUGCUGCAGAGACUCCGGGGAAAACUGCACGUAAAUAGCUCCGCAAAAACUGAGGGUGCAGCAUGCAUUGUGAGGUUUAUGUAAGCUUUCAAGCUUUCAGGCACCAAUACCUCCAAUUUGGUGCAGUUGCCAAGACAAUGUGAUGACGAUUCUCCUGCUAAAUUUACAUGAAAUAACCACAAGAUUCUGACACUGGACCUGAAAAUGGACCUCCAGAUUUUCUUACUGUACUUCUGUAGCAAAGUUUUGUGGUUCCAGUAAAGUGUUUGUUAUCUUAGACUUGACUUGCAGACCAUGCUUGGGUUCGGCUAGUGUUCUCCCCACGUACAAUUUAAGAGGGUAAUAACAUAUCACUGAACUUGGAGAUCGAUCUGUGUUAGCUUCUGGCGUUCUAGAUCGGCACUGUAAUAAGUAACUGUAACUGUACCAUGGCUCUAUGCAUUGGGAAAUUAAAACCACUCGUAUGAGUAAAUCAAUUUACAGGAACAAAUGAGCAGUAAAAAGCAUCCUUCCGGUUGCUGAUAGUACGUGCAGCUAGGCACGCCAUAUGAGUACAUACAACGAAGGACUUAACGUCCAGAUACGCAGAUCCAUGGUACACAAGCACAGGCAUAUGCAGGAACAGAUUCAGAGAGAGAGAGAGAGAGAAAGAAACUGAAACCAAAGCUUUAAUCAAAUCAGAUCAGAUCUUGCCGCGUGGGCCGGGGGUGGGGGGAAGCUGCGGCCCCUUCUUGAUGGGCAGCAGGUCCGGCGACGUGGUGGCGCCGAGGUAGGCGAUCAGGGACCCGCCGCCGAGGAGCAGGAACUUGAGCAGCAGGCCGCGCUUGGUGAAUGGCGCCGCGAAGGUCUGGAAGAACUUGCUCUGCAGCCCGUUGUAAGGGGACGGCGCGUCGGACCCGUACAGGUCCCACUGCCCCGUCGUGUUGCCGAUGUCGUCCAGGUCGAAGUACACGCUCUUCUCCCCGUACUUCGCCUGCACCGCGACGCCUCGUGCAGGCCUGCAGGCGUACGCGCACGCGUAUAUAUACGGUUAUUUAUACGUAUGUACAUACGCUCGAUCGAUGACAUAUUAGCUCGCUUCACGUGCGUACCUGCGGGUGGAGCGGCAGAGGGAGGACGGCCGGGCGGUGGCGGCGAGCUUGCGGCCGGACAUGGAACUGCCGGCCAGGCCCUUCACGGCGGCCGACGGCUGGACGGCGACGAGCGACACCAUUGUUGUAACAGUGGGAUGUGUUCUGAGCUUCUUUUUCUUUUUUUUUUUGCUGCGGGUUACGUGCGCGAACUUGAUCCAGUGCUGGGGAUAUUUGGAAGGUGUGCUGCUGCGGGGCUGAUCAGGUUUGGGUGGGAGAGGCUUGGCGGGGAUGGGCGAGGCCCCCAUUGGGAGCGCGCCACGCGGCAGGGUUCCGGAUAGGCUUAUCCUGAUCGCUUGAUUCUUGGGAGGGAUGACAUGGCGCGGCCAACGUGGCACCGGAGCUUGCGUGGGGUUGUCCAGCUGGGAACGGGCGUCGGAAAAGAUCUCACCAGAUGUCCCCGACGGCAUCGAUCGAUCGAUCACGGUCUCACUGAGAUAUGGUGGGCCGGUGGGCCCAGAAGCCCUCUAGCUAGGUGCUAGGACAGUGCACGUAACGUACUCCGUAUUGAUCAUUGAAGGAAAGUAAAGAGAGAUAGGUAGAGAAGGACGUCCACGUACUCCGUUGCAUUUUGCAAAUGUUGCACGUACGUACGUAUCAGCACCAGGAUACAUAUGCAACGUGGGCAGGCAGAGUACGUAUAUUGUAGUGUAACGUAUUGCUAGUCGAUCUUAAGCACCUUCCGCUUGGCCGGGGAUACUAAUUAACCGGUAAAUACGGCGGAAGGGAUGUGUACAGGCGCGAUAUAUACAGUGGAUCCAGAUCUGAGAUCGAUCUAGCUGAGCCUUGCGUACGUGCUAUAUACACAUCCUCAUCCGCGAUGGGCAAGCGCAUGCAUGCAGGGUACGCUUCUACGACAAUGGAGCAGCAAAGGAAUUGACGCUACGCUACGUACAGCGAAUCGAUCAUGCACGGAUUUGCGAAUCGAUAUCUUCACGAUGCAUGGCCACAGGCAGGAUGGCGCACAAGUGUGCUGGGAGCGAGAAGACGCGACUAAAAAAAUAUGUGAAUGCGAUGAGCCGGGCCAGGCUGCCAGCUUUAAGCCCAGAUCCAGAGCGACAAGCAAGCCGUUGUUGCACGCCCAACACUACCAACAUGGACCCGCUUUUUUUCGGCGGGCCUGAAUCCACCGUCUAUACUGAUGCCCUCUGGCCCAAACGAGAAAAGAAAUACCAUACAGUACGGCCGUUUGUUUUUUGUGGGUAUACUGUACACAGGUUGGCGCGGCUAACGAAGAUGCGAGGGCACAGGGAGGCGCACCUUCCUCGGUUCAGUUCAGUUCAGUUCAGGCCGAGAUCCACCGAUCCGCGCGCGCACAGCGCACCGGUGAGAAAGCCAGCACCGACGACGCGGCGCCCCCACGCCACCAGCCAGCCACCGGCCAAACGCACUAACCAAAACCUCGCCGUCGUCGUGCGCUCCCGCCGAACCCCACCCUAGUUCUCUCCCUACUACAUCUCCACGGCGGGAGCUUUGCGCAGCUCUCCCCCGCUCCCCGUGCCACACUCGCUCCUGCACCUCCCGCUCCCCGUCUCCCUUCCCGGCCUGGGGCGUCGGUCCCCAAUUCGGGUCGGGGGGCGCCGAGGUCGCGAGGCGGAUCAGGAUCUGAUCCCGCGCGGCCGGAGCGGGAGCGGUGGGUCGGUCGAUUGGGCGGCGCCGGGAUCAGAUCUAUGCGCGAGAUCUAGCCGGGCGUGCGGGCGGCUGCUGGUGAUCGGAGCCGGACCCGGAGGGGAGUGAGGGAUGGCGUGGUGGUCGGGGAAGGUGUCGCUGGGCGGGCUGCAGGACAUCGCCGGCGCCGUGAACAAGAUCAGCGAGAGCGUGAAGAACAUCGAGAAGAACUUCGACAGCGCGCUCGGCCUCGAGGAGAAGCGCGACGACGAGGAAGGUAUGCGCCACUCAUGCUAAAGCCGCCCCCCCCCGACCCGACCCCUUUCCUCCCGUGUAGCCGCCUAGCCGGGCAGCAUUGGUGCAUGCUUGGCUGCGUGCAAGUGUCGAUUGGGAACUGCGAUGGGAUUUUUUUGGUUGAAUACUGCACUGGGUCAUGGGAUUGUCACUGGCGGUAAUGCUGUUUGUAGCGUUGUUCAUGCGAUGAUUGGUUAGUUAGCUAUCGAUAGUGUAUACUGACUGAUGUGAUUGUAGGAAGCAGAAGUUUGAAUUCAGGUCAUCGCUGGUUCCAUUGCUCUCGCAGCUUCUUAUGUAGAUAGAUUAUUGCUUAAGUCUCGGACUCUGUAAAUUGGUCAAGCAAAACCCCAGUCCCUAAGUUUCGUAUUUAUCAGCUGCUGCAUUAUUGAUCAUUGAUUGGUCUAGCCAGAUCAUAAAAACUUAUACAUACUUCUUAGUAGCGUUGGCAUUACAACAGAUUUUGUAUUGCUCUUUCCUUUUGAGAAGUAAUGGAACUUGGAGGCAGUGAAUUCAUGCCUAUUCUCAUAACUUUUUUCCAAUAGUUUUUGUUCUGAGUAGCAUCGCUAGGAUGAGCAUAUUUGGAGAAUAUAUAGCUUCUAAUUGUUCAUUUACAUGGCUAACGUGAGACCCAAAAAAUGUGUUUUUGGGUGAUCCAGGAUCAGGAUCACGUACAUCCAACUCUGAUGGAAUAGGAUUCUUUAAUCCUGUCAUGGCAUUUAUGGGACAAAAUGGUGAGGAGAACUCUACGGAAGUAUCAGAAAAGCAACAAUUGCCAAUACAUUCGUCAGCAGAAGAAGAAAAUCAUAGGGUCACCACCGAGCCAGCUACAUCUGAAGCAGAUGCUUCUGAAGUAUCAGUAACAACCCAAUCUCCAAAGCAGCUUCCAAAAUUAGAAGAGAAUGUCAGCAGCUCCACUGAGCUACCUGUAUCUAAGGUGGAUGUUCCUGACCAAUCUGUAACACCGCAAGCUCCAACACAUCCUUCAGCAUUAGAAGAAAAUAAUGGUGGCUCCACUGAGUCACCUACAUCUAAGGGGGCAACUUCUGAAGUAUCAGAGACACCGCAGUCCCCGAUACAUCCAUCUAUAGCCGAAGAAAAUUCUAGUGGCUCCAUUGAAACUAGUAACUCAGUUGAGAGGGAAAAUCAGGGUCACGAAGGUAAUGAAUAUUCUGAUCCCAAUGACGAAGCUUUACCGAGCCAGCUUGGAGUGUCCGGCAGGGACAUACCUGGUGGUGGAACAUCUUCACCUAAUAAAUUAGAUCAAUCAAGUGUUAUUGGAGCAGAAGAAUCUAUUCAUGAUGGAAAGGAUGACACAAAUGGUAACCAGUCACAGCCAGCAGAUUCCACGGUAGCCAGUUCAGAUGAUGUAAAUGAAGGCAAUAAGAUUGGUCAAGAAUUUGAUGCCCAAAAGGAAAUAAUCAGCCCACAUGAGAGCAAUGUUAUCGAUGACAAAGCCAGUCAUGUGGAAGUCAAGUUACAUGACGACGCUGCUGAGAAUGAAGAAGAAAACAGUCAAACAGAAGCACAUGCAGUAUCUGUUGUUGAAAAUGUGGAUAAUACAGUGUUGCAACUUGAAAACCCUACCUCAAAGUCGAUAACUAUGGAUGAUGAUUCAGACUCGCAAAAUGAGUUAGCACCCGCUUCUGUACAUGUUCCUGUUGGUCUUGUAGAAGUUGGUUCUCAUGCAAAUGAUUUGAGAAAAGAAGAAAAGAUUCAUGACUCUGUAACAACCAUAAAUUCUCGAGAAUCUGUUGGUUCUGUUGUUGAACUAGAGAAACUAAGACGUGAAAUGAAGAUGAUGGAUGCUGCAUUGCAAGGUGCUGCAAGGCAGUCCCAGGUAUCAUUUCCAAAAUCCACAUGCUCUAGCAUCUACUGUAGCAAUUAAGUUAGUAACAUGUUUGGUUGAGGAACUAGACAGUGAGUAUAUCAUCCGAUUCUAGCCCACUUGUUUGGGUUGAGGAAUAGACUCGGUUAGUCCAACACCACUUCAUCCUUCAUAUGCAUGAGAUUGGCACUAAUGGGAAUUGAGUCAUCCCACCAAUUUGAUUGAUCAUCCCAUGUUGAGGCAACUCAUCUUGGAUUGAGGCAAUCCCUCGAACUAAAUACCCCCUUGAUGCAUGUGUGGUUGAACUUGUACAUUAUGAAAGUUACUCCUGGAUGAUUCAACUUGGAAGCAAACCUUUAGUGCAAUCUGUUUGAACCAAUGAGUGCUUGCUAAAUUGUCUGUAUAUGUACCUUUUUAUUCAGUCUGAAUCUAGUUUACCCGUGAUGUGGAUUCAUCUCAUAUUUUCCUUUUUUUGGGGUGUCAUGCUUUACGGAAAAAAACAUAAAAUAUGUACAGUUAUCUAAUAUUUCAAAGUGCUUUGUAGUGUCAGAAAGGAGCAUAUCAUGCAAUUAUCUUUCUUCUUUUCUGAGUAUUAUAUUCUGAUGCACCGAGCCGGUCAUGAGGUAUUAUGUGCUUCAGAUGCGUUCUUAACAAUGAUCGUCAAAACAUUGUAUAAUUUGAAUGGCCUAUGGCCCCAUGUUAGUCAUUUCUUUGCAACAUACAUGACCCUUCACCACCUAUUUAGGUUCUAACAACACUUUAUUUUUCCUACAGUCCAAAGCUGAUGAAAUUGCUAGACUGAUGAAUGAAAAUGAGCAAUUGAAAUCAGCAAUUGAUGAGCUCAAGGUAUGUUUGCUAAGCAGAUUCCUUAUCUUUUGCCUUCUGGACAUAAACAUUUGGGAUGUCUUUCAGUUAAUUAACAAAAAAAGGAUGCCUUCGGUUUAGUAAUCACCACAAUUUUGAGUUGAAUUAUGUGAAAAUAAACAAGAUAAAUACUGAGUUGCUUGGCAGCUCCUUUAGCCUUUGAUGAGUGUUAUAAUAAAUUUUUUUACUGUACAGGGUAAGUCAGCUGAAGAAGAAAUGGAUGCUCUCAAGGAUGAAUAUCACCAAAGAGUAGCAACUCUUGAAAGGAAGGUGAGACACAUUACUUUUGUUACUCAGUGCUACUAUUGACAGUUGAUCAUUGCGUAUUGCAUACGGCAACCUGAUUUAGGACUAAUAAUCAUGGAGAACAGAUAGAUACAAGUGCGCUAAAUGCCGCUAAGACCAGAGGGUUGAUAAACAAUAUACGAUAUUACUCACAUACAAUAUUGUAAUUACUAAUUACAAUCUUCAUGCUUUUUGUGCGGUGGUAGGCCUGGUAAUGGGGCUAAGCCCGCACCGAAUCCAAACCACACCAUAACAUCUCACGUGUAUUUCCCAAUCGCAACCAAACCAGAAGUGAAAUUAGAAAACCCAAACCACACCGCACCGUACGACUUCUCCAUCCAAUCCGCACCAAACCAAUUCAGAAACCGCAGGCUCCGGCACCACGGUCAGGCUUCGAUGGAGAUAGGCGGAGGGAGGCAGAAGCGGGGAGAUUGAAGGGCGACCGGUGGCGGAGGGUGUUGGACCUUGGGGACACUGGCGACGUGCAGAUCGGGAGGAAAAUGAUGUUGGGGAGCAGAUUGGGAGGAAGACGAUGUGGGGGAGCCGGUUACAGUUUACGAAGAAGAGGAGGCAGGGGGCGCCGGCGGCGGAGCGCCGGAUCAGGCAAGGGCGGCUGGCGGUGGAACGCCGGAGCAGGCAGGCGACGACAUCGGGAGGAAAACGAUGUGGGGGAGCCGGUGACAGUUGACAAGGAGGAGGAGACAGGGGGCACCGGCGACGGAGCGCCGGAUUAGGCAAGGGCGUCUGGCGGCGGAACGCCGAAGCUGGCAGGUGGCGGCGAGCGCAACCCCGUCACCAUCACAAGGGGAAGUUGAGGCCGUGCCAUCAUGGUCUUUGUUAUUCCAAGUGGUGUUCAUGGGCUGAAACCAAGGUUGGAGACCACGGUCUGAGCCCAAUUCAGUUCUAGACCGGUCCAAACCAAACCGCACCAGUCCAAACCGCAUUUGUACUAAUACCAAACCAGCCCAGACCGAUUUUCUAUCCCAUCCAUUUGAAACCGCACUGUUUGAACCCGCAUGCAAAACCCGCACCAAAAAAACCGAACGAACCUGCACCAUUACCAGGCCUAUGCAGUGGCUCUAUUUUGUUAUUCUUUUUUUUUGCAUUCUUUGUUUUAAUGGUAAAAUAAUCAAAGAUUCUCUUCUGUGCUUUAAACUUUGAACUUUAUGUUAAUGGUAAAAUCAUGGUAAAAUAAUCAAGCUAUUUAGCUACACUUUGAACUUCUUUUUCCUGCAAUUCUUCUAUUGUUGAACCCUUUGACUAGCUGGGGCGCAAUUACAUUUAUUGCACUAUGGUUAAUUUUGUUUUUCUCUUAAUUCAGUUCAUCAAGAAAUUGAGUUGAUAUUUAAUACUAAAGUUGUGUUUAGAGUGAGGCAAUGAGCUGCAUUAGUAAGGUUCCUUAGAAUGCUAUUGUCAGAAUCUCAUAAUCCUCUAUGUCAUUUUUUGUCCCUUCCGGGUUCAUAACUUAUAUUGCCAGUGUCCUUGUUCAUAUAUACAAUUAAUCUUGUGCAUAGCACUGAAAUGUUUGUAAUGUGCAUGCCUCAAUGUGUGUAGGUUUAUGCACUAACCAAAGAACGAGACACAUUGAGGAGAGAGCAAAAUAAGAAAAGUGACGCGGCUGCUCUUUUGAAAGAGAAGGACGAAAUUAUCAGUCAGGUUAUGGCUGAAGGUAUGCAUAAUUGUGAUUUUUAUGCUUACUGAACAUAUUUUAACUAAUGUUAAGUCAAAAUAUGUUCUGUUGUAUUGUUGAAAACAAUAUGAAAUUGCCUUUUCUAUUAUUUAAAGACAUCCAGUGAACAUUCCAAAUAUUAAUGUUACCAUACGUUAUGUUGCACCGUGUCGAGCACCCUUUAUUGAUUAGAGUCAUUUCAAUCGUGACUUCAAUGAUCAUGCAUGAAUAUGUACAUAUUAGUAAGAUUAGAAAAAUAUGUAAUUGCCUCCAGAACAUGGAUAUAAGACCAUAAAAAUGACAUCACAAACUUUUAAACCACCUAUCACUUCUGUAUGGGCCUGUACUCUGCAGUUUAUCGUGUGAUAUUUGGAAGUUUUGUGUCUUUAAGCUAGCCUUGGUUGAGUGCCUUACUGCUUUGGUUGGAGCUGAAGUCCUUGGCUCUCUGCUGUAAGGCUCUGAUCUGGCUACCAAUGGUAGUUGUAGAUAACUAGGUAUUAGGCAUGCACAUUUUCUUUGUGAAAAGGGCCUAAUGCCCUAAUGUGUAAGUUUGCCGUUAUUCCUCCAUCCGCUGCUUUAGACCAUGUACAUACUAUAGCCCCCCAUGUGAUCAUGUUCACCUUUUUAGUAUGUUCUGGACCAUGAUUGGCAAUGACACUAACAUCUUGUUUUUACCAAUGGAACAGGCGAAGAGCUAUCCCGAAAACAAGCUGCUCAAGAAGCUACUAUACGGAAACUGAGGACGCAGGCAUGGGAUAUGACUCUAUAACCAUACUACUUCAUCAAAAUUAUAAAGUAGGUUUUACCAAAGUAAUCAAGUUUGCUUUCUUUUUUUUGGUUGAAGCUAGGUUCGUGAGCUUGAAGAAGAAAAACAGCGGAUGAACUCAAAGAUCCAGGUAAAAAGGAAAAUCAACUUUGUUUUAUUAAUGAAUGAAUAAAUAAAUUAAUUGACCCCAACUAAAUUAUUUUCUUAUCUGCUUUAAUAUCAUAAAGUAUUUUUCUUUGCUGUUUGCAUGAUUAAAAAAAUCAUUUCUGAAGCUAUUUUUUAUUGUUUGUUUAUUCCUAUUUGUUUUGUUCCAUUUGAACAGUAGUUUGCAUCACCCGUACAGCUUGUUUACAGUUUCAUGAGUUCGUUACAGUCAGACAUGCUUUUUUCUUUCUUACUUGGUUGAUGGGCAACUCUGAAAUAUUGCACUCAGAGAUUAUGGAGUUGAUCUUCAUCCUUUUUGUUUGCUCUCAGGCUUCAAGUGCAGUCACUAACUCAGCAAUUUUCUGACUUUACAGGUUGAGGAGACAAAGGUUGAGAGUAUUAAAAGAGACAAGGCAGCAACCGAGAAGUUGCUACAAGAAACAAUAGAAAGAAAUCAAUCUGAACUUGCAGCUCAGAAGGAGUUCUACACAAAUGCUCUUAGUGCAGCAAAAGAGGCUGAGGCAUUAGCUGAAGCAAGAGUCAACACUGAAGCCAAAGUUGAGCUUGAGAGCCGUUUGAGAGAAGCUGGUGAAAAAGAAAACAUGCUGAUUAACACAAUUGAUGAGUUGAGGAAUGCUCUCACCAGACAAGAACAGGAGGUAUGCUAUGAAAAUAUUCGUCUGCACCUGUGCAUCUGUAGUUCAACAUCCUCGGUACAAAUAGUGUGUAUAUUGUGCUGAUCUAACCAUAAUCUACAUUUGACUCCUGGAUAAAAACUUCAUCUGAUAAUUAUUGUUUUAGCUGCCCACUUUCGAUUCACUGAUUGCAAGUAUUUCUUUCGUGGCAUUUCAGGCAGCUUUCAGGGAAGAAAGGCUAAAAAGGGAUCAUGAUGAUCUUCAAAAGCGGUACCAAGUAAGCUCUUCUGUUUUAGCUGCUACUACAGAGUACUGUAGUCAUGGACCAAUUCUCAAUUUCUUUCAUUAUUUAAUACUUCAGGCCAGUGAACUUCGUUAUAAUGAACUGGUUACACAAGUUCCUGAGUCGACCAGGCCACUCCUAAGGCAAAUUGAAGCCAUGCAGGUAUGAGUGCUUGCUUUGGAUUUUCCUUGUGCUGUAAUUGUUUCGCUGUUCUUCUGUUAGUUGGUGUAUGCAUCCGAGUCUGUGAAUUGAGUUUUUCUGCUGUUGUAAGUUGGCUAAUCAGUUGUGUUUUAAUUUUAACAGGAGUCAGCUGCUCGAAGGGAAGAAGCUUGGACUGGUGUGGAGAGAACCUUAAACUCUCGCCUUCAGGUCAAUUCUGUUCUGAACUUUUGGUUUAACAGUGAUGUGCAGAAAAACAAUGGAGAAAACUAGAACUACAACAUGGACCUUAAAUUGUUAUAAAUGUGCAAUGAGCAGGGACAGCAGAACAAAAUGGACAUAAACUUUGACAUUAAGUCAUUAAUAACUGUUUUCUUGUAGUUAUUUAUGCCUCUGCAAAUGUACAGAUAAAGAGGAGUGGUUGGGUGCUAUCUAUCUUUAGUGCAGUCGGGCAGUGUCAGGAACACAAACAUAAAUAUUUCACUGACAUAGUUUUAUCUGUCCUACUCAAAUAUGCAGGAAGCAGAAGCAAAAGCUGCUGCCUCGGGAGAAAAGGAGCGGUCCAUAAAUGAGAGAUUGUCACAAAGUUUAUCACGCAUAACUGUUUUGGAGACCCAGGUUUGUGCAAUAAUUUCUUCUAAAAACAAAAACUUGUGACAUUAUUGUAAGUCAACCCGGGUUUUUGGCAACAAUUUGGGGCCUUUAGUAAGAAAAGUAUUUAUUUUGAAAUGAACUUUGUGUCUUGUGCAGAUUACAAUUCUUAGAACAGAGCAGACACAGCUGAGCCGAUCUCUUGAAAAAGAGAGGCAGAGAGCAUCUGAAAGUAGACAGGAGUACCUUGCAAUUAAGGAGGAGGCGGCAAUACAAGAAGGACGCGCCAAGCAACUUGAAGAAGAAAUAAAGGAGCUUAGAGCUAGGCACAAAAAGGAGUUGCAAGAAGCAGCAGAACACAGGGGGCUGCUUGAGACGGUAGUCAAUUUUCUCUGUGAAUCACUUCCUGAAAAGAACUGGAACUACAUGUAUACGGAGCAAUGUUUCUGCUGCCAAUUUCAUUGAUGAGACCUAGAAACACUUUGUUUAACAUAUGACAUAAAAUUUGAACUUUGGAGGCUAUCUUAUAGCAGGCCUAUUUUAGGAUCAACCGGUAUUUGUUUACUUCGUUGCUUUCCCUACGUGAAGAAAAUUAGUUUUAAAUGUCACUAAUCAUGUGCCUGCCAUUAGAUCUUCUAGUUCAUACAUUACCAACUUGGCAACAAUUUAAUGUGUCUAUUAAAUUCUUGCGUCAAUUGCAACUUCUGAAUUUCAGGACCUUGAAAGGGAAAAGGCUGCCAGAGCAGAACUUGAGAAAACAUCUUCCCGGGAGCCACCUAAAAUUCCGCUUCCAGAUCAAACAAGUAUGCUCUUUCUUGGCCUCUGAUUAGUUUCUGUAAGUUCAAUCCAGCUUUUCUUUUUUGUUGCCUUACCUGUGACUCUGUUGGUUUCCUCUUUGCUUUUCUUGAAGGAAAUGCUCCUGUCAGAAGGCUCUCUAGUGCUUUGAGUGUUGGCAGCCUGGAAGAAAGUCAUUUCCUUCAAGCAUCAUUGGACUUAUCAGAUAGUUCAUCAUUGGAGAGGAGAAUGUCAGCAGAAAAUAAUAUGUCAUACUAUCUGAGGAGCAUGACUCCAAGUGCUUUCGAGUCAGCACUCCGUCAAAAGGACGGAGAACUGGCUUCUUACAUGUCACGCUUGGUAUGUAUAUGUGCGGAUGCAUCCUUCUAAUAUUUCUCCUAAACUAUUUUAUUUUAUUUUCUUGCUAUAUAUAUAAAUUUGAUAUUACUUCUGGAAACUGACAUUUGCUGAUUAUUCAAGCUAUUAUUUCAUAAAGUAUAUUGGAGUAGAAAGCUAUUUUUAGCCGAUUUACACCUGAACUUGUGCAUUAUGGAUGUCUAAAAUAUUUCUAGUUAAGUUUAGCACUAGCUUGUGCAUACACACACUAUUUCACACUCCCUUUAAAAAUUGGUGAAACUAUAUCAAGUUGCUGGCAAACCCUGAGCCCAACUGUAUGUUGCCAUAUAGCGUUUUUUUUUGGCUGUUUUCAUGAGGUGCCUGGUUACCUAACUUAUAUCAUUCAGCAUCAUCUAGAAUGUAGUGGGCCAUUUACUCCCUGGACAUUGUAUCAAGCACUCAUCAGUCCCAUACUAGUUUUAAAACCCUACGGGUUAAUUACUACAAAUUCAUGUGUCAUUCUCAUAUAUCCUAAUUUGUGAAGAAGCAGGAGCGGUAGCUUGGAAUAGUUCCACGACUUGUGUUUUCAUAAGAUGUUUUACCUUUACAUGUUUUGCCCACUAGAAUGGCCUACACCAUUUGAAGCCAUCUAUGCUGGCAACGUUUCCGUAUCUGUUUCAUGUUCUAUCAAACAAUCUUCAGUCCCAUACUGGUUUUAAAAGCCUAUGUGUUAGCUACUACAAAUUUGUGUGUCAUUCUCGUAUAUCCUAAUUUCUGAUGAAGUGGAAGCAAUAGCUUGAAAUAGUUCUGUGACUUAUGUUUCCAAAAGGAUGUUUCUUUUAUCAUGACAUCAGGUCACCCUCAAAUGUUCAUCAUUUAGGUUAGGUUUAGGAUAUGAUAUGUUUGUACUACUUGUGCUACAGCCUUGAGAGCAUUGUCGUAGACUCCUUGGGUAUGCAAUUGUUCUAAUACUUCGGCCUUCAUGCUUUAGUACGCUAAUCUCUCUUGCAAUUGGCACUGAAUAAAUGUCACUUUUAUAUUACAGGCCUCAUUAGAAUCUAUUCGGAAUUCUCUGGCGGAGGAGUUGGUGAAACUGACAGAACAAGUAAAUCAUUGUGAACCAACUAGACUAUAAUUUCAUUAUAUAUGCGGGUGCUAAUUGAACUGGUUUCGUAUGCAGUGUGAAAAAUUGCGGACUGAAGCUGCUGCUCUGCCUGGCCUAAGGGCUGAACUGGAAGCACUGAAACAAAGACACUUUCAAGCUCUAGAACUUAUGGGUGAACGUGAUGAAGAGGUAUUUCUCACAUGCAGUGCAUCUCACCAUUACUCUCUGUGUUAUUGACUUGUACCACAAGAUACACCAACAAUAUAUAAUCCGUCAUUAUAUUUAGUCUCAUAUCAUAUGGAAAAGGGAGUCCUCUUCAUGAAUCAAAUUGUGGUAGCGAGCUUACAUAGUGGAAUCCUGUAAUUAACUUCACUAAUUAGUAACCUGGAAUUUCUACACUAAGUAGCUUGUAGUGACUUUUGGUGAUUGCAACCUAGCCCACAAACCCAGCUGUUUCAGUCAUAAAACCUGUAACUCGUCUGGUUUUAGAUUUGAUGUUGUUUUUCAAACUUUGGUUAUUGAAAUGUAAACAUCUAUUCGCUGUAAUUUGUUGAAAAUGAGGGUCUGUAUAGAAAUUGCCAUGGUAAAGGAAAACUAGAGGUGACCUGGUCUCAGUUUACGGGGUGGUUACUGGUUGCUAACCACCGGUUGGAACUGCCAUGAUGGCUGGGACUCUGGUUACAUUUUUAUGCACACUCUGUAGCUGCCGUAUAAGAUGGUCCUGAAAAAUGUUUUAGUAAAUUCAAUUAAUAUGACCUAUUACCAAUACUACUUUCUGUUAACAAUGGAAUGGACCCAUGCAUAAGCUUGACAAUGAACUAGUUGUCUGACAGUUGGCAUAAGCUGCCUAAUUUAACCUGUCCGUAUUAGUGUCUUCUCAAAGGGAUGUGAAUUCAAUGCGACAUUGUGUGUGCACGAUACACUUUCGGAUAUCUUUGUAUUAUUGUUCCGUAGACCCUUACCUUCUAUUUCUUUCAUACUUAUUAUGAAAAAAAAUCUGUGCUGUUUUGCAGUUAGAAGAGUUACGAAAUGAUAUUGUUGACCUAAAGGAUAUGUACAGAGAACAAGUGGAUCUUCUUGUUGGCCAGGUUUGAAGUAUAUUGAUUUAAAUUCUGCUUGUCAUUGCGGAACCCUGAAAUGUGUUGCCCUAAAACAUCAAUUUUCCUUUUAUCAGCUCCAGACAUUGGGCGCUCGUGUAUAGCAGUGAAUUUGACAUCCCAUUUAAUUUUUAAUGCACUGCAUCGACCGAGACCAAGAUAACAAUUUUGAAGCCUGAACAUGUUUCUUCAGAAUUCGAACUGAUGCGAGUGUGGGAAGUUCAUAAUCACACAACGAGUGAAGAUAUUAUUUGUGUACAUUUUGAAGCAUCUUUGUUGUUGAAUUUAGUAGGAUAGUUUGUUGUAUACUAGAUUGAAUAGCUUCACAGUUUUACGUUUACAGAAAUUGCAAAAAAAUAAUUUACUGAAGUGUACCAAAUUUGGAACCUACAAGUGUAUGUCGACGUCUCUAAUAAUAUGGAGAUCCUGUUUUGACAGCUUUGUCAGGUUUUCUGUCACUCUGUAAUCCAGGAUUACUUAGUUUGAUUUUUUGCUAGUUUGGAAAGACUAAAAUAUAUUAGAUUAAGACCGCGUAUUGUGAUGUUGCCGCAAAGAAAUGUAUCCAGCCUGGGGAAAAGCUUCAUUCCCAGGUGCACAAUAAGGGUUGUAAAUGCACAGGAAUAGGAAAAGCACGUGACUACAAUAUCAUGCCCCAAAUUGUAUAGGAUUGUGUUUAUGCCAACUUUUUUUUUAUAUAAGUGUUUACUCAAAAGUUUGUUUGAUUCGAUCAUAGUAAGAAAUUUCCAACAGGUUUGAUCAAUAGAAAAUUUCCUAUGAAAUGUGGUUCAAAGAAAUUCUAAGAAAAAUAUCUAUAAAUUCAAUCCUACAAAUCAAACAACAAAGAUAGCAAAAUUUCCUAAGGACUUGCAUUGAAAUAUUGGAGGAUUGGAAAAGUUCCUAAGGACUUGCAUUGAAAUAUUGGAGGAUUGGAAUACUUAGAUUUUUUUUUUCCGGUGGGUUGUUUGAUUUGAAAGUUGAGUCGGGUGGGAAAUCUUUCUUUAGGGUUCUUUUGCACUGUAUUUUAUAAAAAAAGAAAUCUUUUCAUUCAAACCUUUAGUGAAGAUUCAUUUGUUUUUCCUUGAUUCAAUCAAACACAACAUUGAUGUCACCACAAUCUUGUAUUCAAAUAGGCAUGGCAUUGCAAUCCUAUUUUUCAAAUCCUACGAAUCAAAGAGAACCUAUGGAACUUUACAAGAUUACGAUGUUAACAUAGAUUGGAGUUGCAAUGAAGGAUUUUAUGUGAGAACCUAGCUUUGCUGCGAAUUAAAUCUCAAACACUAGAUUUUACGAGAGAACCCAACUUCGUAGCGGAUCAAAUGUCAAAACGCCGCCAAAGAGACGGUAUGUUUGAUACCACUCAGUCAGAUCCUUCUACGUGUGAUCGACAAUUCACCAGAAGAUACUUUCUUUUGUCCUGAUGUUGUUGCCAGAGCAAUCUGGCUUUGUAAUUAUCCAAUCUUUUGAUAACUCCUCUAGUUUGCUUUGACGAAAGACUGACAUGUGCAAAGAAACACUACUUAUACUGUUAUACAUGCCUCCAAUAGAUUAAAAAAAACUUUUACAGCCUUCCAACUUCUUUUCAACUCUUUCCUCUUUAGGUUCCCAAUGAGAAUUGCUCAGUCUUUUAACGUCCACUGGAAUUCCCUCAUAAGUUAAGGGGAGACUACCCAUGUUAAAAUCGAAAAUUUUACUAGAACAAACACUUCUUUGAGCAAAAUCUCUUACACGGUACAACUCGCUCUUAUGAAAGUUAACUUUCUGACCAUGAACUAGCUCAAAAGCACAUAAAACGAAUUUUAAGUUUUUGUCGUGGACCAGAUCAUCCUUAAAUUGACAAGCCCCCCCCCCCCCCCCUUCUGCUUAAAAAGGGAUAAAAAAAGGGAAACAUGAGUUGUUGAACUGCCAUUCGAGUCCAUGGUUUUUUUUUUCUUUUCUUUUUUCUAGAAUACACCCAAGCAGGUGUAUCAUAUAUUGAAGGAGGAUUCCGCGACGCAUUUACAUGCCCGUAGGCGCCAGUAAAGCGACCAUUCUAUUACAUUCCACAAGGGAUCCACUAGACUAGAAAGCGAAAAAUCUACACUAUGAAAAAGACCCGCGCUCGACCAUGCCCUUCCUUCACUGUUGAUCAUUUGUUGUAUCUUUCUAGCACUCGGAGUUGCUGCAUCGAACACCACCGAGUUCCUGUGCUUCCAGAGGCACCAGCAGAUGAGAGUAAUGCUAGUGUUGAGGUUCCUCUUCUCUUUCUUGCCUUGCACCACAAGGCUCGUCCACCAUUCGGCAAGAGAGGCUUGCGGAGUAGGGAGCCAGCAAAGCCUGUUCCAGCCCCGCAGCGAGGUCGACCACACUUCCCGAGCCACGACGCAACCAAGAAGAAGAUGGUCAAUGGUCUCAUUGCUUUGAUCACACAAAGGACAGCGUGCCGGGUGGGGCAAACCCCGCUUCGAAAGCCUAUCCGCCGUCCAACAACUAUUUUUUAGAGCCAACCACAUGAAUGUCUUGCACUUAGUUGGCGCCUUGGAGGACCAGACCUCAGUAGCCCCCGCAGCAAGCACACGACCCCGGAAGAAAGCCGCGUACGCAGACGAGGCCGUGUAGGUCCCAUUGUCGCUCCAUUUCCAAUGGAAACGAUCAUCAUCGUAUGAAAGAAUCACCUCAGCCACGCGGUCAUGAACCACCAGAAGAUCCACAAGCGCCUGAAAGCAGAGCUCCGGGUGGAUGGCCCGAAGCCAACCAUUGGCAUGCAAAGCCUCGGCCACAGAAAGCCUGGAUGCCCUACGCAAGAUCUCCGAUAGCAGCGUAGGCGCCAAAUCCGCAAGUGAACGCCCCUCCGGUAGCCAAGGAUCAUACCAAAAAUGUAGAGCUUCACCAUUCCCCCUUGCCACCUCAAUCGCCGCCUCACAAAGUGCCCUGGCCUGUUCCGGGAUUUGGAUGUUGAAUUCAGCCCAUGGACGCGUCGGGUCCACAUGACAUAGCCACCCCCAUCGUGUUCUGAGUGCAAGAUUGAGAAGCUUCAGAUUAGGGAUGCCUAAACCACCAAUCUUGCGAGGGGAACUGCCUUUCCACAAGAACACACGACAUAUCUUCUCUAUGCCCGCAAUGGUCUUCAUAGGAAGGUUGAGAGACAUCAUGACAUAGACCGGCGUAGCUGAGAGGGUCGAUCUAACAAGGGUGAGCCAUCCCCCAAGAGUAAGCAUAGGGACGGACCAUGUCUGGAGCUUAUUCGCCACCUUGUCCACCAUAGAUGAAAGUUGAGUUGCCGUUGGCUUCCGAAGCCCGAGAGGUAAGCCCAAUUAGGUACAUGGGAAAGGCCCCACCUCACAACCAAGCGUGCAAGAUCAAUGGUCUUGACAAAGAUAUUUAAAGACUUGUAUUGUGCUACCGAAUUCAUAUUAGCAAACGUGCAAGAUCAAUAUUUGUUUAGUUUUUUUUUGACAACAUAGAUCAAUAUUUGUUUAGACACGAUGAUUGAGCGAGUACAUGCGAUGUAACAGUCGGAAAAGGUUUCACACAAGUUCAUUUGUCAGUGAACAAAUUAUCUGCAUUGCAUUUUUUCAUAACAAUACAUGGACGUCUGUUCCGUUGGGCUCAAAAAGAAUUAAACAAAAAAUAAACGUCGACAGCAGGAUUCGAACCUGCGCAGGCAAAGCCCAACAGAUUUCGAGUCUGUCUCCUUAACCACUCGGACAUAUCGACCCACUUGGUCUUUUAUUCCUCUCAGUAUUUAUAUACAUGACUAUUCUGUUAACAGAUUGAUGAUUUUUUGUCAUUGCUAUAACCAUCUUUUACAAAAUAUUUGAAGCUUGCAGCAGAACAUGUAAACAUUUAUUCCUUUGAGAUGCGGGGUCAUAAUUUCUGCAAAAAAAAAACUCUGUACCCUUUUCGCAAGAAAAGAAGGAGAGCUAUCACCUGAGUACUCCGUAUUUAGCAUUCUUUAAUUUACAUACUAGUGCUCUAGAAAAAAGUUGCAUAUAGCUUCGUUGCCAAAUCAGACGGGCACUCGGGGCUGCAAUUGCAUGAUGGGCAAUUUGCCAUGCAUUAUUUGACGGAGUACCAACACGGAACACCCGGAAGCGUGAGGCAGCAGGUGCAUUCUUCAGUCAUUCAGUCCAGCCUUCCCUUUCGGUUUCUCCGCUGCCCUUGCCUAGCUAGGCUAAGCUUGUUUAGCUCGUAACAUUUCAAUGUUAAGUUUGCUAUCUUCCAAUGAGGAGUCCACUGUAGUAGCAUUAGCAGUUGGGUUGGUAUGGCCAUCUUGGUAGCUUCUUCUAGCCUCGGGACUUUACAAUCGAAUGCAUCAAUGCAAGAACAUAUGCAUUGUGAUGUACUAACAAGGAUCGAUAAGUAGAAUGAAAUCUGUGUCUUGUUCCAUUAAAUGAUGAUUAUAUUUAUACAAGAGGAAGGGACACCAAUACAUGCAUUGGUGUCCCAAGUUUUGGGCAUUCGCAUCCCGACACAGACGGUUACAACAUUGACUGCCUAAUUAACCAUUAAUUAACUAAUAAUUAAUUCUAAUUGAUCAUAAAUAAUUAUUCUCAACACUCUCCCUUGAUCAAUUUGCUCCAUUGAUUUGUAUAUUCUUGAAUCAUCAUGAAAUCUUGUAAUUUCCUCUAAAAACCCUAUGGGAAAAAUAUUGAGGAAAUAAUAAUAAUAUCGAUAUGUUAUGAAAAACUCCCUUUAAAAAUCCAAUGGGAAAAAUAAGGAGAAAAUGGUAUAACAUAUUUUGAAUAUUGUCUCUUGAUAAUUCAUAUUGAAUUAUAUGAACAAUAAAUAUGCCUUGUAUAUUAUCCACAAAAAUCCCGGUGGGGAAAAUAUAAAAUAUGACAUAUAAUCUUAUGUUAAUAUUGUCUCAUUAAAAACCUUUUAUGAGAAACUAGUGAGUAAAACUCAUAAUAGGAAAAGAGUGCAAUAUGAUGUUAUGAACAGGUUAAAUUCAGGUGAAUACUCCCCCUAAUGCUUGCAAAUUUUUAAGUCGUCGCAUACCAAUCCCAUGUACACAUUUUUUAAAUGUGGAGUUGGGUAAGGACUUAGUGAACAAAUCUGCGAGGUUAUCACGUGAUUUGGUUUGCAAGAUAUUUUUCUCCCCAUUUUGUUGUAAUUCAUGAGGAUAGAAUAGUUUAGGUGCAAUAUGUUUAGUUAUAUUGCUUUUUAUAUAACCUGUUUGCAUCUGGGCAACACAAGCAGAAUUAUCCUCAUAGAUAAUUGUUGGUGAUUCAAUCAAACCAAUACCACAUGAUUGUUGUAUAUGGUUAAUCAUUUUGCAUAGCUAUACACUUUCACGAGAUGCUUCGUAUAAAGCUAUUAUUUCUGAAUGAUUUGUGGAUGUAGCCACUAUAGUUUGCUUAGAAGGCUUCCACGAUAUGACUGUCCCACCGUGUAGGAACACGAAACAGGUCUGGGAUCUGGCAUUCUGGGGAUCAGAUAAAUAGCCAGCA
Molecule: long non-coding RNA, 52470 nt
Filed under: Brachypodium distachyon (stiff brome)
Lineage: Eukaryota; Viridiplantae; Streptophyta; Magnoliopsida; Poales; Poaceae
Description: long non-coding RNA (BDIS_LNC001806)
Rfam family: MIR1120/MIR1122 microRNA precursor family (bases 27336-27471)
Source: RNAcentral